Molecule: long non-coding RNA, 57939 nt
Filed under: Ananas comosus (pineapple)
Lineage: Eukaryota; Viridiplantae; Streptophyta; Magnoliopsida; Poales; Bromeliaceae
Description: long non-coding RNA (ACOM_LNC013709)
Source: RNAcentral
UUUAUAAUUUUUUUGUUUAGUAUAAUCUAAUUUUUAUAUUCUUUACUAUAAAAAUUUAAAAUAUAUAAAUAAUUUUUAAAUAGUUUAGGCUGUUUGUAUUAAAUAUAAAUUUUAAUUUUAUUAGAUUGAGCAUUUAGAUAUAAAUUAUACAUUAAAAAAUAAAAGAAAAAUUGCUGAAGUUUAAGUAAUUUUAUAUUUUAUAAAAUUUAGUUGUGAGAAUCGUAUAAAAUAUAUUAAAUAAAUUUGUAAAGCUAAACGAUAUAUUCAGAUUUUUGAAGUCAAAGUACCCAUUGACUGACUCAAAUCUAAUAUAUAGAAAAUUUGGAUAAUCAAAACAAAAUUUUGGAAGAUUGGAUAAAUACUUUUUAUCUUUAAAACUAUAAGACGAGUGACACUUUAAUCCCCGAACUGUAAUACGUUAUGAUUUAAACUAUAAGGCAUGCGGCAUUUUCAUCUUCAAACUUUAAUUAGUUACAAUUUUUGACUUGAAAUAUUAGGUAUAUUAUUUUAGUUCUCAACGUUUAUUGCUGCUAUAAAUAUCAUUAUUAUUCGUAUGGUUUUUGCUCUUAUUUUUUUUAAUCCUUAUAAUUUAUUCUUAUUUUUUUUAUUGCAGCAAUAGUUGCUUAUUCUUCAGUUGCUUCUUUUUUUAUAUAAAUUCUUGACUCUUUGUUUUUACUUUUUUUUAUUUUAUUUGUUUAUUUAUUUAUACAUAAUUGUCCCGCCGCAACGCGCGGGUCCUUCACUAGUACAUCAUAAAGACGAUGAAGGUUUUUUCUUUCUUUACUAGGUUUCUUUUUUGAAUUAUUUUUCAGAAGAAAUAGUUUUUGAAACUCUUAUAAAUUAGAUCAUGAAUUUAAAAUAAAAAGGUUAAAGAAUCAGGAAGAGAAGAGAACAAGAAUAGUGAAGAAGAAAAAAGGGAGAUCUCCAACAACGAAAAAAAACAAGAAAGUGAGCAAAAAAGAUGAUUUUUUUUUUUUUUUUUUCCCACUCUUCCUCUCUCACAAGUGUGAGGCAUUUCCCUAUUCUUCAAUUCUCUUCUUUCGAACAAAGAGAGGAGAGGUGUGCGCUUCCUUCCAUCCCCCCAACCCCCCUCCCUCAACCCCCACAAAAAAGGGGAAAAAAUUUGCAAGGAGGUACCGUGGCCUUAUGUUCUUCUUCGAUGAUGACCACGGCGGCGGUAGUGGUAGCGGUAGCGAUGACGACAUGUAGGAGAUCCCAUGGCCUUCCUCUUCUCUGACAAUGGCGAUGCGAGAGGAGGCCUUGUGGCUUUUUCUUCGAUUUAUCGGCGGCAUCAACUGUGCACGAGGGCCCACGGUUUGUCCCUUUCUCUUUGGUGACGAUAGCGACUUAAAGGCUAUUCAGGCAGCAAGAUAGCAACGGGAUGAUGAAUGCACGUAAACGACAUAGUAACUAUCUUAUUAUCGGUUUAAUCGAUAGUCAUCUUCGUGAUAGGCUCGACACAAGCAAAAUUGACACUAGGCUGUGUUUGUUGUCAUAAGCAUGCAUUCACUAUCAUCAAGUAGCUGUGAAUUAUGACCCAAAAUCAACACGUGCACACAAAUGAUAUGACGACGAUCCUCGUGUCAGGGUGAUCGAGCGGCCGUCUUCGUGAUACGCUUGACAAGAUCAAACUUGAUAUUGGAUCGUUGCCCUUGCUGAACCCAUGUUCAUGUCUACUAUACCGAGCACCCAUUUUCGUGAUAGGCUCAACAUGGUCAAAUCCCUAUUUGAACCACAAUAAUAAUGAAAGUUAAAAAAUACGUAAAAAAAUAAAAUGAAUAAAAGAUAAAAUAAAGAAAAAUAAAAAAUAUCUGCCUUGGAUCGCCGUCUUCAUGAUAGGCUUAAUCUGUUCGACUUAGACCAAAUCUUUGUCUUUGUGAUAGGCUCGAUUUGGGUUCGUCUUCAUCGAAUCACUGUCUUCGUGAAACUUGAUUUGGUUUAGCUUACACCAAAUCACCGUCUUGGUGAUAGGCUUGUUUUGAGUUCGUUUUCACUGAAUCGGUGUCUUCGUAAUAGGUUUGAUUUGGGCUUGUGUUCAGCAAAUCGCCGUCUUCGUGAUGGACUUGUUUCGGUUCAGCUUAAACCAAAUCGUCGCCUUUGAAACUUGAUUUGGUUUAGCUUAAACCAAAUCACCGUCUUGGAGAUAGGUUUGUUUUGAGUUCGUUUUCACUGAAUCGGUGUCUUCGUAAUUGGUUUAAUUUGGGCUUGUGUUCAGCAAAUCGCCGUCUUCGUGAUGGGCUUGUUUCGGUUCAGCUUAAACCAAAUCGUUGCCUUUGUAAUUGGCUCGAUUUUGUUUGUUUUCACUGAAUCGCCAUCUUCAUGAUAGGCUUAAUUUGGAUUCAUUUUCACCAAAUCACCGUCUUCGUGAUAAGCUUAUCCGGUUUGGGUGAAACCAAAUCACCGUCUUUUUGAUAGGCUCGAUUUGGGUUUCGUUUUCACCGAAUUGCUGGUCUUCGUGAUAGGCUUGAUUCGGUUUGGCUUAAAACAAAUGGUCGUCUUCGUGAUCGGCUGGAUUUUGGUUUGUUUCAUCGAAUCGCGGUCUCCGUGAUAGGUUUGAUCUUGUUCGACUUAAACCAAAUCGCCGCCUCCGUGAUAUGCUCGAUUUGGGUUUGCCUAAACCAAAUCGCUGUUUCGUGAAGGGUUUGAUUUGGAUUCACCUUCACCAAUUCGUCGUUUCCAUGAUAGGCUUGAAUCGAUUCGAACCAAAUUGCUGUCUCCGUGAUAGACUCGAUUUGGGUUUUUUUUCACCGAAUCACCGUUUUCGUGAUAGGCUUGGUUCGGUUUGACUUAAAACAAAUCGUCGUCUUCAUUAUAGGCUUGAUUUGGGUUUGCCUAAACCAAAUCACCGUCUUUGUGAUAGAUUUGGUUUGAGUUCACCUCUGUCGAUUUGCUAUUUUCAUGAUAGGCUCGAUCCAGUUUAUUUUAAAUCAAAUUGUGUGAUAGGCUUGAUUUAGGUUUGUUUUCAACUUUACAUCAUACCGUUGUCUUCGUGAUAGGCUUGAUCCGGUUGUUUUAUACCAAAUUGCCGUCUAUGUGAUAGGCAUGAUGGUUCGACCAACUAAACCACCAUUUCAUGAUACUUUUGGAUGGGUUUGUCUAACCAAACCAUCGGGAAUGUAUUUGAUAAAUGGUUCAUGAUCUUGACGUGAGUUUUCAACUCAAACCGAACCAAAUUACUCACGCUAACAAUCGUAUUCAGACUGAACCCAACAUGAAGAUAAUUCGGGAUGAAUAUAAUUGAGGAAUGAUUUGGAACCUAACAUAAAUGGUGAACCAAACAAUAAUGAUGGAUCAAACCUAAAGUAGUGAACCUAUAACAAUGAAUCAAGUCAAGAGUAUGAAUCAAACAAUAGUAAGCCAACUGUAAACCAAACUUGCAGCAGUGAAUCAAAAUUCAAGAUAAUAAAUCAUACUCAAGAAUCAAAAUUCAAGAUAAUAUACCAUACUCAAUCGAAGGUGAACCGGACCUUAGAGGUUGUUGAACCUGAUCAUACCGUACGACGGUUUAAUCCGAGUUGGAUUAUAAAGGGUUCAAGCUGAGUGGAACUGAACCACAAAGCUGGUUGAACCUGAGCUGAACUACAAGAAGUCCGAGUUGAGCCGAACCCAACUCAUUUUGACCUAAACGGAAUUAUAAAGGAUCCAAUUACAACCGAAUUAUAAACUGGUUCAACUUGAACUGAACCACUGAAGGUUCUACCCGAACUGAACCAAAUUAUAGACCAGUACAGCUUAAGCCAAAUUAUAAAGGAUUCAAGUUGAGCCAAAGCAGAUUCAACUCAAAUUAAACCACAGAAAAUUCAAACUAAGCUGACCUGGUACAACUUGAACCGAAUUAUAAGCCGAUUCAACCUAAACCAAACUACAGGAGGUCCACGCCUCACCAAAUCAAACCACAAGCUUAUUGGAUCUAAAUCGAACCAUAAAGGAUUCAACUUGAACCAUGAACCAGUUCCACAUGAGGUCUGAGCUACAAGCCGAUUCGACUCGAACUGAAUCAUAGGAGAUUCGAGCCGAUUUUAUUUGAACCACUUCGAUUUAAAACCAAACUAUAAAGGAUUCAACUUGAACCAAACUAUAAGCUAGUUCAACCCGAACUGAAUCAUAGGGGAUUCCAAGCUUAGUCAAAUCAUAAAGGGCUUGACUUAAAUAACAAAUUAAAAGAGUUCAAGUUAAGCUGAACCAUAAGGGGUUCGACUUAAAUCAAACUCAAAAGGGGUCCAAGCUGAGCUGAAUCAAAGGGCUCAACUCAAAUUAAAGUAAAGCAAGGUUCAAACUGAGCCAAACCAUAAAGCCUCGACCCGAGCCAAGUUCAAGAGGGCCUUAAACCAAGGCAAACCAAUAUUCAACAGGGAUUGAACCAAGUCAUAAGGGUUCAACCCAAACUAAAAUUCAAGGGAAUCUGAGGCGAACCAAGCCAACCUAUGAACUGGUUCAGCCUAAACCUAAUAAAGGUUCAAAUCAAACCGAAACUCAAACUAGUUUUAACUUGAACCUAACUCGAAUAAAGGUUCAGACCAAAAUCAAUCAGCUGAGUUUAUCCAUAUUGACUCACAAGUCAAACUCAUUUUAACUUGACCGCCAAGUCCUUUAGCUAUGCAAGUCAAAUUAAACUCACCCCAAGUUGACCACCAAGUUGUUAAACUGAGCAAGUCAAACCAAACUUAACCCACCUUGACCACCAAGUCAUUAAACUAAGCAAGUUAAAUAAAAUUCAAUCCAACUUGACCGCUAAGUCAUUAAACUAAGCAAAUUAAAUCAAACUCAUUUUAACUUGACCGCUAAGUCGUUAAACUGAGCAAAUCUAUCUCAAUUGACCGUCAUGUCAUUAAACUGAACGGCACAAUUUCGAUCAACCGCCAAGUCCAUAAACUAAGCAUUUUAAUUUGACAAAGUUCAUGGACAGUGGGGGUAUGCCUUUGCAUUAGCCAUGCACCUAGCAAAUUAUUAUAUUAAUAAAAUUUCAUCUUUACACUUUGGUUUCUUUUUUUAUUAGUAUUUAUAUUUGGUUUCUUAAUCGAGGGUUUCUUAACACUGCGAAUGUGAGGUAAUAACAGUAGAUUCUUGAGUCUAUCGGAAGUUAUGAACCUACAAACCUGAUAAAAAAAAUCAAACUUUAAUCAAAUUUGAUCUGUACUAUGAAUGACCACUCAUCGGAAAAAGACUUGUGGCUGGUCGGGCCGUUUGUGGUACUUUGACUAAGAUUGGUUUUCUAUCAUGAAUAUUCUCUAUUAACAUUCUUAUCAUCCCUGGCUUUGUUUGGAGACUUUUGCAUGGAUAUAUAUAUAUAUAUAUAUAUAUAGAGUGAGGCUACUAUGCUUCUGGAAGCACGGAGCCUUCCGUGCUUCCAGGUUGUUUUUCAUGUUGCGACUUUCGAAUCGUCGAUCGGCUCCGUUAAACUUGAUCUAGAGUAUUUGAAGUACGUAGAAAAUAAAUUAUGUGAUUUUUUGAUAUUAUUUGCCUAGUGAACGAAGGGGCUCAAAAUCAACGGCUGAAAAUAAAAAUCUUACAAAACGUGAUAAUAUGACAUUAAAAUUUUAGAUCAAAGAUAUUGAUCUUGUUUUAUAUAGUAUAAAGAAUUUUCUAUCAAAAUUUCACGUGAUUUGGAUAUUUCUACACCGUUAAACUUGCAAACGGCUCACUACGGCCAUUGAAAUUUGUUGAUUUUGAGCCCAUUCGAUCACUAGGCAAAUGAUAUCGAAAAAUAAUAAAAUUUAUUUUCUAGGUACUCCAAAUACUCUAGAUCAAGUUUAACGGAGCCGAUCGNCCAUCUGAGCCAACAAAAAGAUAAGGGGGAAAAAAUUAAAGCACUUGCAACUUAGCUGGAAUAAAAGGGAAAAGGAAAGAAAGAAAUUAAGAUACACACACACACACACACACACACACACAUAUAUAUAUAUAUAUAUAUAUAUGCUGUUAUACUAUCAAUAGUACCAAGCCCUUGGUACUAUUGAGUUUUCAGCCGUUGGAUAAAAAGAUGUGCGGUUAGGAUGAUAGUGGUCCCCGAUUAAAUUGAUAGUGGUCCCCUAGGGUUGAGUGGGUGGUUGGUUUAAUAGUAUAAUCUAACGGUGGGAAAUGAUCAAAGGGUAGAUCUAACGGUAGAAAACUCAAUAGUACCAAGGGCUUGGUAUUAUCGAUAGUAUAGUAGCCGUACCCGUUAGAUUAUAUUAUUCAACCAACCACCCACUCACUCAACCCUAGGGGACCCACAUCAUCCUAACCGCACAUUUCUUAAUCCAAUAUAUAUAUAUAUAUAUAUAUAUAUNUAGGAGGGGACCACAUUCAUCCCCGUACAAUUCUUGAUUUAAGAGUCAAAAAGUCAUAAACAUCAAAUUCUCUAUAUUUUCGAUAAAAUAGUAUAUAUAUAUAUAUAUAUAUAUAUAUAUAUAUAUAUAUAUAUGUAUUGUCUAAUCAUGCCCUCUUCUUGAUUGCGUCACCUUUGGCUAGUGUUAUUGGUUGGGCUUGACCUGGGCUCUGGUCAGGAGAGAUGAGGACUUGGGGCUAAUCUUAGUUGUUCUGGGUGUGUUUUCAGGAGGUUGGGGUGUUUGAGAGGGAGCAGGUCAGUGUGAUAAUAGAGUAGCGUGUGCAUAACCAACACGAAAUAACAAAAUUGAAUAAAGUUGUUUGUUUUGGUUCUGAUUGCUUCUGUCUUUUUGAAGUUGGUUUUAAUAACUAAUCUAAUGACGUUGGUUUGUUUUAAGUUUAUAAACAUGUAAACUGGCUUUAAGCAGAACACAAUUGGUCACAUAUGUUACAUAUAUGAAAUACAACUAUAACUGAACCGAUUUCAAAGAGAAGCAACUGAUCAGCCCAAAAAAAGAAAAUCAUUUAGAGCCAUUAGCUUUGGGACUUGAACCUAGAUUAACUGGAAGAAAUGUUUUUCAACUGGACCAUAUGUUCUUUCUAUGCCUUGUAGUGUUAACUUGAAGUCAUUUGAGUUUGGUCUGCUGGAUUACUCCGUGAAGAGCUUUCUUGGAGUUCUUAAAGAGUACUGGAUGAGAUUUGCUAGUGAAAAUGUCUUCUUAGUUGAUGAAGGGUCCUAAGGGAGUGCCACUGGCUAAAAAAAUUGUUAGCAAUAGGGAUAUUAUUUCUUUGUCAACUGUAAAAAACAAGUUUGCUGGCAGAGUUUUCGGCAAGAACGCUUAAUUCACUUUACUGCAUUGAUCUUUAGGGGUAUUUUUCGCUGUCAACAAUAUACUUUUGUUUCUUUGGUCAAAUCCAUUUUUGGACUUCUGCUGUAAUAGAAAUUCCACAUCUCUUUUCUGCAGAGAAAAGAUCCACUAAAAUUUCUUUGGAGUGAAUAGAUGUGAAUAAAGUGGAUCCAGGUCUGUUCUCUGGAUUAUUCUUAAGUUUUUCUCCUCUGUAAGUGUUGUUGUUGGAAAUCAGUCACUGCAUCCAAUCCUAUCAGACUUGAAUUCCAUCAGACCCAAAUCUGAUUGGAUGAAAUCCAAUUUAAGUAUGGUCACCGGACAAGUGAGGCUGGAAGGCUUUAAUAGCGGCCAUGAAUAUAUGUCAGUUUUCUGAGAAGGAUAAUAGUUUAUAAAUAGCCUUUCUGCUUUUUAUCCUCUCUCUCUUUAAACUAGGUAUCUUUUUCCAGUUUUAAUACAUCAUCUGGAAGCUUGUUAAUGCUUUCAUUGGAUCCAUUAGUAUCUGCCAAAAUCUUGGUUCAAAACAGUUCAAAGCAGCUACAUAUCAGGUGCUGUUGUAGUGUAAGGGCUGCCAUACCACCCCUUCAUGAACCUAAGCACCAUGAUAUGCUGUCAAGAUUUGUAGCAUGGUAGGAUCAAAUGGAUCAGAGAAAAACUGGAGAAUCAAUAUGUUGGAUCCAAAUUUCUGAAGUAAAUGACAUGUGGAUGUAAUUAAGGAUGGCUGAGAAAAUGGCCGCGCUAAUCAGCACAAAGUUUCAUUAGUCAUGCUGAUGGCUUCCACAGCUUAUGCAUGCAAGUCGAGUGGCUUCAUGUGGUGCUGCUUUCUGCUGCCUAUUUGUUGCUUCGUGGUGCAAAGCUGUUGCUGCGUGCCGCUUCAUUCCACUCAGACCUGCGGCUGCAUACCAUUGACACAGAGCAGCAUGUUGUGUCGGCACAGAGAGCCAUGGGUGCAAUUAUAGAUGACAAUUUAAAAGAGAAUGUUAGAGAGAUUAAGAUCAAAUGAUGAGUACCAUCAAAACUGUAUUUUGGGAGCAGAUUGUUAGGAUUGUUAAUGCUUAUGCAUCAUAUAUUAGUUGCAUGUAUAUAUUGAUACUUCCUCUUUUUCGAAAUAGAAGUAGAAUAAUCCUGGAUACUUGCGAGUGAGAAGAUUUAGAGUAGAUUUGAACUGUCUUGUCAGCAAAAGGGCAGGGGAAUGCGAAUAAUAUGUUUAGGCUGCAUUUAAGAGAGACAGUGACGUGCAAUUGGUCUUUGCUUUUUUUUUUCCCCCCACUUUUUUAAAUGAUCUUCUGAUUGCAAGUAAUUACUCUAAUAAAGGUGAUCACAGUUUGCUUAGUUGAAAUGUCAUUAAAUUGCAGUCAGGUAGAUGUCUUACCUACUAGUCGGGUUGAUAAAUUUGAGAACAAACUUAAGAAAUUGAGAACUGUGGUGAAACAACUGUGAAACUAUGUACCUGAUCUGAAGUGUAAUGUUUGUGAUUUAUUGGAUGCUGGACUGAGAAUGUGCUUGAUAGUUCUUUUGCAGAUUCAUGUGCUGAUAAAGUUUACAAGCAUUUUAUUAGCAUUAUUCUUCAUGUAUAUUGAAAUUAGCGUGCCAGUGACUACUUUGCUAUCGUCAAAACUUGAUAUGCUUCAUAGAUUCAAACCCUGAUUUACUUUGUAGAUACGUACCUUGAUCAAGAAAACAUGCUUAUACUAUUGUUACUUAUCUUAUGCAUAUAUGAUAAGAUAGAUUUGUUAAGGUGUUUGCUAGACUACCUUCAUCAGAUAUUGACUGAUGUAUUGGAUGAUAUUCGUGUUAUGUAAUUUCUAAAGUUUUGAUGUAAAUCAAACCCUGGAGUUCCAAUUUCAGAAAUUUCUGUUGUUUUAGCAGUUUCCAUUUUCUAUAUCGGUAUUUGGUUUGAAAGCUUUCGGAUUUUAUACUGGUAUUUGGUUAGCCAUAGUCUUCAACUUCCGAAAUCAUGUGAUCUCACGAUAAUUUGAUAUGGGAAGAGAUACUUUAUUUUAAUUUUAUGAAGAGCAUUGCUUAGUUUGUGUAACAAUCUACUAAAGAGAUCAAUGCACAAGCAAUAUUAUAACAAUACGUGAAUAGAUUAUAUUUCCCACCAUCAGCUAGUUUCAGCCACGUUGAGCUGAUGCUCUGAAGGGCUUUUUCUUUGGGAUGUUCUUGUAGGAAUCGAAAUAUAUCAAUUUCAUUGUGGUCUCAGAAGCCAGUUUUUGUUUGGAGGUUAGAUAAUCUUAAUCCAAAUUAGGGUUGGGCUUGGAAGGCUCCUAAUACAUUGGCAACUGACUGAAAUCAAAGCAUUUUCGUUUUGGUUUUGUAGUUUCCUUGGCAACUUCAUGAACUGGUUUAUCUUCUUGCUUCUAGUGACACAUGAAUCCUAGUGACAUGUUGAACUAAUAGAGAACAAACUAGUGGAUUGGACAUAGAAAACAUUAUGAACAUUGAAUUAAAUGAUGCAUUGGUUGUCAUUGUGAUAUUGAAUGUGAACCUUGUGAUAGAACUGUGAAUUGGAUAUAAUGUGUUGUGCAUGAAAGGGUUAUGGCAUGAAUUAUUCUUAUGAUUAGCAUUUGCUGCUGCGGAAUAAGGCCCCCUUCCGGGGGGGCCCGAGCCAUCAGUGAGGGAAUUCAUUAGAGGAAUGUUUCCAAUAAAAACGGUUCUUUGACUGUAAGAUUAUGUUUGUUUUGAAUGUGGCCCUUGUAGACGUGUUUACAAAUAAUUUGGAACUUUUUUCUUCUAUGUUUCUCUUAUUUUUGUCUGUUACGAUAUUUGUGUUUUGAACGUCGGCCUGGUAUACAUGUUUACAAGAAAUUUAGAACAAAAUCCCUGCAUUUAGUGUUAGAAGAAAAAGUUUGGAAGUUAACCGUCAUGCCCCAGAUUCGAGGCGUAACGGAUGCUGUAUAUAUACUAGAAGAGUAAAUAUGUAGUAUGAGAAAAGAACAAAACAGAAACAGAUAGAAACAGAUGGUAAUGUAUAAAACACUAAGGGUGCGUUUGAUUCAAGUUAUGUAAUAUUACAAAGUAUUUCAAUAUAUUCAUAUAUCUUGGAUUUCUAAAUGAGAUUACUACUUAUGUUGCAUGAGUGCGUUUGGUUUAAUAUGGUAAUGUAAUGUUGGAUUGUAGUGUUUAAUUAUAGCAUUACUAUAUUUGGUUUUGUCUAUAAAAUUCAGUAAUCUAGACAAUAAAGUAUAGUCUAUUCUAAAAUUGCCUUUAGCCAUAUUUUGUAAACUUUUUUUUAAUUGUUUACAAAUAAUAUUUUUUUACUAAAUUUUAUUAUUAAUAAUUUAAUUUUUUAAAAUUUAAAAUUUAAAAUUUAAAUUUGAACUAUGAAAUUUAUAAAUUUAAAAUCUAAAAUAUAAAUAUAAAAUUAAAAAUUAAAAAUCUUAAUUUAAAAUUAAUAAUAUUAAUUUUGGAACUUAUCCAAAAGUUGGUGGCCCUUUAAAAAAAAAAUUUCGAGAACUUAUCUCUAUAGCAUCAUCAUACAGAUAAAAAAUAAGUACUUAUAUUAAAAUUUAAUUUGAAAAACGUUGACGCUGCACAAAACACAUUUCUUUACAUGACCUUAGUUAUUACAUCACUUUUUGCAGAAUAAAAUCUACUACAUCACUAUAAAGAUGUAAAUUUGAAAAAGAAAUGUAUUAUAAGAAUAAAACCUACUACACCUUGCGUUACGGAUUGGGUGCAAGUCGGAUACAACGGAUGUAAAUCGAAGAGGGCUACCAGAGUCCUCUUCUAUGUCCACAUUUCAAAACUUCGGAAAUGUAGGUAGAAAUAUCAGAGAGAGGAGAUCUUAGAAAAGGGACCUAUUUAUAGAAUAAUGGAACCCCUGAAUAUCCUGAAUCUUACAUAGAGAUUAAGAUAAGGAUUAGGAUUAGAAUAUCUAUUAACAUAUAAUAGAUAAUUAUUAAGAGAUAUGUUUCCUAACUGAUAAGAAAUAUAUAAUUUAUUUUUAUCCUAAACUUAUUAGAAUAAAUCAGGAUCCAUAUCUUAUGUGGAUCAGGUUAAAUCAUGAUCCGCCAAUAUGGACAUACCAUAUUGCAACACUCUCUAGCUCUAAUCUGGUUUGCUAGAUUUUCAAAGGCUAUAUUACCUCAAAUUAUGUGGCGUUCAACAUUUUGGGUUUUCAAAUAUUAUGUUAUAAUUUUUGGUUUGAAUUAUUUUAAUAUUUUCUAUCUCUAAUUCUUUUAUAAAUAAAAUUUUAUAAAAGAAUUUAAUCACUAAUAGCUUAUGUGAAAGCGGGGAUUAGCCGUGGGGUUACCGAGCACACAUCAAAUCCACACAGCAUACGAGCGCAAGGAAUAGGAUCUUUCGUAGACGUAAAAGAUGAGAACGAUCGUAGAGAAACAAUCACGAAAAUAAUAAAGCAAUAGAAGGAACAAGAAAAGACAAUAACACAAAAUUUACAUGGUUCGGCCAACAAUGAGUCGACCUACGUCCACGGGCAAGACCACCUCAAUGCGUUCUUCGAUUAAUCCACGGCACAAAAGUACAAGGAGUAGAUUGGAUUACAAGAAACUCUCUCUCAAGAGCUCUCCACGUUUUCUUCUCAAUUAGGGUAUCUACAAUGAAGCACUCAUGAGAAACCUCCAACAACGAGGCUCUAACUCAAAAGAACAAUUAUAAGGGUUAAUAUAAUCCUAAACUCCAAUUCAAGUAGUAAACGAUCUCCGCCGUCCAUCUGUGCCAUCGAUUCAUAUCUAGCUGUCGAUUUCCUCUUAAAAAUCCUUUUUGUAGCGAUCCUGGACCAUCACUAAUCUUUUGGAACAAGAUUAGAUCCAAUUGGAAUCAAAUUCUGCAUAUUCAACCCGUUGCAGAACUGUGUACCGAUACUCGAAGUCGCGUAUCGGUACUUAAUACAAAAAUAGAUAACUACGUACCGGUACUCAGAAUCACAUAUCGGUACUCAGUACAAAAGCAAUUUUUUCAGCUCUCGGGUUCUGAGGAACUACUGAGGAACUGCUGAGGAACUCAAUAGUACCAGUACUAAAACUUCAAGUUUCGGUACCCAACAUCCAAAAACCUCAAAACUUCGAUUUUUGCACCAUGAAAUCGACUCGGAACAUAGCUUUACAUAAUCCAACAAUGCUCCCACUUUAAGACAUGUGCCGAAUAUCAUAGAUUACCACAAAAUUUAGUCUUGCCAAACUCCCACUCUCCUUACGUAGCUCCAAGACCGAGAUAAGUUAUGCUUCAAUUGAACUUCGUUCGAGUCACCGGCUUCAUCAAAAUAUCCACUUGAUUUGCAUCGGUAUGAACCUUCGACAAUGAGAUAAGACCUUCAUACACCAUAUCUCGUACAAAGUGAUAGUGAAAAUCAAUGUGCUUUUGUCCGAGAGUGAAACGCCGGAUUCUUUGACAAGUGCAUCGCACUUUGACUAUCACAAUUUACUCUCACUACACCUGGCUUCACUUUCAAUUCUCCUAGAAGAUUUUUCAACCAAAUAGACUCCUUAUAAGCAUGUGCCAUUGCCAUGUACUUCGCCUGCGUCAUAGACAAAGCGACCAUUGACUGAAGCUAUGACUUCCAACUAAUAGCACCACCGCCCAUAGAGAAAAUAUAGCCCGUGGUAGACUUUCUCCUAUCUCUAUCUCCUGCGAAAUCUAAAUCCACACAUUCGGCACACUCUAAACCUGCAGAACCAUAAGAGAGUGAAAAAUCCGUAGUACCCCUCAAAUACCUAAGGAUCCACUUCACUAUAUUCCAAUGUUCACAACCCUGAUUCGUCAUAUACUAAUUUACUGCUCGCACUACUGCUUGAGCAAUGUCUGAUCUCGUGCACACCAUGGCAAACAUAAGGCUCCCUACUGCCGAUGAAUAUAGUACCCGAGCCAUGUCGGCCUUUUUCGCUUCCGUAUCCGGUGAUUGUUCGGCCAACAACUUUAAAUAAAUAAGAAACAUGGUAGAAACUGGCUUUGCGUUCUGUAUGUUGAAGCUCCGCAGAACCUUCUCCACAUAACCCUUUUGUGAAAGCCAAACCUUCCCAUUCUUCCUCUCCCACAGUACCUUCAUCCCGAGUAUUUGAUUCACAGCUCGUAGGUCCUUCAUAUCAAACUCACUGGCUAACUUAGUCUUCAGGGUAGAUAUCCGGCUUUUGCUGUUUCUCGCGUCUACCAUGUCGUCGACGUACAAUAGUAAUAUACAGAAGCUUCCAUCAUUUUAUCCAUAGAAAUAUGCACAAUGAUGCGCUUCAAGCCUAUCAAAACCCGAACUCACAAUAAAGGAAUCAAAUCGCUUGUACCAACACCUUGGGGCCUAUUUCAAUCCGUAUAAUGAUUUGUUCAACUGACAAACAAAAUGUUCCUUGCCUCUUUCGACAAAGCCAUCUGGUUGCGACGUAUAUAUCUCCUCCUCUUGGUCACCAUGCAAGAAUGUCAUUUUCAUAUCCAUCUGUUCGAGCUCCAAAUCUAUGACUGCCGCGGUCACCAAAACGACCUGAAUAGUGGUAAGACGAACCACCGAUGAGAAGAUCUCAUCGAAGUUAAUCCCCAGCUUCUGAGCAUAACCCUUCACUACCAACCUCGCCUUGAAUCUCUCGACAUCCCUGUUCGCAUUCUUUUUCACCUUAAAUACCCACCGGCAUCCAAUCGCAUUCAUUCCCUUUGAUAAAUCAACAAAUUCCUAAGUCCUGUUCUGCCGAAGUGACUCCAUCUCCUCCUCCAUCACGCAUUGCCACUUUCCAGCAUCGGUCAACUCACAAGCCUCCAUAUAUGAAGUUGUCUUAUCUUCCUCCGCCAAAGCAAUAUAUGCACUAACAUGGUUAGCAAAAUGAUUAAAUGAAGUAAUAGAGUCAUCAUACCUCGCGGGAGGUCUAAUGACUUUCCUAGGACGCUCAAAAUCUGCUGGUGGCUCCACCGAUGAAUUUGUAUCUUCAGAUGAUUGUGGAGACUCCAAGUCCGAUUCAUUAUCAACCACCUCGUCGUCUUACUGUGCUUGCUCAACUUGCAUCUCAUCACAUGCUUCAAACAGCUCAAUUGGAACCAUAGCAUCAUCAUCAUGCUUUUCCUUGGUGCCUUGAAAGGACCCUUCAUUGAAGACAACAUCACGGCUUACGACAAUCCUGUGGGUAGUAGGGUCCCACAAUUGAUACCCCUUAAUGCCUUUUGCGUAGCCGAGAAAUAUACACCUCCGAGAGUUCUUAUCCAAUUUUGAUCUCUUCUCUUUUAGUAUCCACGCAUAAGCGUCACAUCCAAAAACAUGAAGAUAGGAGUAGUCAACGGGCUUGCCGCUCCAAACUUCCUCAGGAAUUUCCAAAUCAAGCGAUUUUGUCGGUGCUCGAUUGAUUAAAUAACAAGUGCUCACGACUUCUGCCCAAAAUCUCUUGUUGAGUUUUGAAGUAUUCAACAUGCUCUGAGUCCUCUCUAUGAGUGUUCUAUUUAACCUCUCCUCUACACUAUUUGUUGUGGUGUACCGGGUACCGUGAGGUGCCGCUUAAUUCUAUGUUCACUACAAAUCUCAUCAAAUUCUCUUAAACAAUACUCCCCUUCGCUUUUCGAAUGUAGGCACUUAAUUUUUAAACCCUUUUCAUUCUCUACAAAAGCUUUAAAUUUCUUAAAAGUUUUAAACACGUCGGACACACCCAAGCCUUCCGAGAAUAAUCAUCAAUAAAGAAAAUAAAAUAAGAACACCUGCCCAACGAAAUAUCGGGUGACUCCUAAGUAUUCGAAUGAAUUAACUAGAGAAACGACUUACUUCUUUGAUGUGAUAAAGAGACUGAUAACCUCCGUUGCUUCUCGUAGACGCAAUCUUCAUAGAAAUCCAAUGGCGUGGACUUGUGACCUGAAAGAAGUUCACGGUUAGAUAACACCUGCAAUCCGCACUUGCCCAUUGUCCCAAACGGCGAUGCCAAACUGUCGGAGACUCCACCUUUGCGCUUGCAACAACCGCUUCUUCCACUCUAGUCUUGCCUACCAAUCUGUAUAGGCCACCUAAUUGCUCUCCUUUUAUCAACACCAAACAUCCAUAACAUAUCUUCAAAUGAUCCUUCUCGCCGACGAACCUAAGCCUUUGUUUGCAAAAUAUUUCAACAGAUAGAAGACUUUUUCGAAGUGCAGGAACAUGCCAAACAUUAGAAACUGUCUGAAUAACACCAUCAAACAUCUUGAUCCGAACGUCUCCUACUCCUACCACCGGACACACUGUGUUGUCACCCAAAUAGAUGACUCCACCAUCCCAUAGCUUGUAAGUAUGAAACCACUCCCUAUAGGGAGUCAUGUGGAAUGACGCCCCCGAAUCCAGGAUCCAAUGAUAAAUAAGAUCGGAUCUAUCCAAUGCUGACAAUGCAUCUCCAUCCUUUGAACUAGCCGGCUUAGAAUCCGCUUCGGCUACGUUACCUUGGAAGUUUCUUGAAUCGAAUUUACUAUCAACUCCUUUAACCCGGCAAUCCUUAUUCACGUUUCCCAACUUUCCACAAUUCCAGCACUUUACUUUCUUUUUGCCCUUGGAUUUUGAUCUUGACUUUCCUCGAUCAUCACACUCCCUUUCAAAAGGUCUUCCCCGUGCUUUUAUAGCCUCCCUCAAAGAGCUUCGUUGGCUUAACUUCUGCCUUAUCUCCUCGGUAAGCAACAAUGCAACCACCGACUCCGUCUUAAAGGUUUCAACAUGGCUCAAGUUCAUGAUCAAAUUAUCCCAAGAUUUCGGCAUCGAACAAAGUAAAAUACUUGCCUUUUCUUCUUUAUUGAUUCUCACGUCUAGGGCCGCAAGCUUGGUUACAAUAGAGUUGAAUGAAUUUAGAUGCUCUUGUACUGAUACCUCGUUCUACAUCUUUAGACUGUACAAUUGCCGUCUCAAGAAGAUUUUGUUCACUAAUGACUUUCCUUCAUAGAGAUUUCUCAAUUUAUCCCAAAUUUCUUUUGUGGUUGUUGGAAAUAAUAGGGCAGCGGAAACUUACAAACCGGAUAGCCAACGUAUCCGGGAACCCAAAUCGGAUCGGUUUGCCUGUUUUACAAGCCUUCUUGGAUCGUCCUUGUCUCGAUGCUUUUGGAUCUCACACGUUUCUCGCAUUCUCCCACGCGUACGCCUUACGCCACGGAUCGGAUGUAGAUCUGAUGCGACGGAUGCCAAUCGAAGAGGGCUACCAGAGUCCUCUUCUAUGUCCACACUUCAAAACCCCCGGGAACGUAGGUGGAAAUUCCAGAGAGGAAGAAGAGAGAGAAUAAGAAAGAUAUUUCGUGAGUUCUUACGAAUUUGAUCGUAUUCAAUUGUCUCUCAUGGGAGAAAACAAGGGACGUAUUUAUAGAAUAACAGAACCCGUAAAUAUCAUGAAUCUCAUAUAGAUUAGGAUAAGGAUUAGGAAAUCUAUUAAUAUAUAAUAGAUAUCCACUAAUAGAUACAUUUCUUAACUGAUAAGAAACAUAUAAUUUAUUCUUAUCCUAAACCCAUUACGAUAAAUCACAAUCCACAUCUUAAGUGUAUCGGGACACGCCAAUGUGGACACACCACAUGACUACAAUCUCCCACUUGGCCACAUUGGCCAAUUAUCUCUCACUCAUUCAUCUCUUCAUACGGGUAAUGGAGCGUGCGACCUGACGAAAGAAAUACAUGCAGGAGUGCUAUAUUAAGUCACCACCCAACUAACAUAGCACAUCACUGACUUAUUCGUCUAUGCCCUAGACAUUUCAACAUACACCGGAUCAAGCAUCACAAAGUCCCUAUCCUGUAAUGACAGGGCUUGACCCCACCGUUAUUUUUUGUACUCAUGAUUAUCUCAAGUAACAUAACCGAGAUAACCGUCCGGCAAUGAGUCACAAGACUUAAGUGGUGUGUUAUCGAAACAUCUUCCUCAGCCCCUCACGUUAAUCCGUAUUGGUCCAAGCACUUCACUAGACAUGCUCCGCGAGAUCGUAUUUUCUCAUGACCCUAAGAUACAUGCUAAGUUAGUUACUUUGGACCUCCACUUCAUAACGUAGUUCUAAGUUGAGGGCACAAAAAAAAUUAGUGCUCACACAGUGACAUGGAGGGAAGAACUUAUGUCACUCUACUAACUGGUCGACAAGCACAUACAGUAUGAUAUGUAUGCUAUGGCGGAGUUCCCACUCAAUGGGUCAUGUCACGCUCUAAAACGCCAUACGAACCUUGGUCUAGGUACCACUAAGGUAUCUAACCACCACAACUCAAGUCAUCUCUCUAACCGGAGCAUUUAGGUUCGGCUACUAUACAGGCUCGAUAUGAAAUUUCUCAAAAAAAACUUUCAUAUCCAACUCUUUAGAGUCUCAUCUUAAACUAAUUAAGGCGACUUUUAAAUUAUGUCAACACUUCAUUCAUAACGUAUAUGAACAAAGUAAUCAUAUUACAACUACUCAAGUUUAAUAUGAUUAUCUAGUCUCAUCCUGCUCACCACUUAGGUGCCAGGGCGAUCACCUGUGUGAGUGGGCUGAUCUGAGCCUGGUGACUUAACGAAUAUGUGCCUACUAGUAUCAAUUACGCAAUCACAUUAAAAGAAGAAAAAACAUAUUUUCAUUAAUAAAGCGUAAGAAACAAAGUAAUGUCCAUAUCAAAACCUACGAAGACCCAAACUCUUAACAUGGGUCAGGAACAUAUCCCUAGCUAUCGGUUUGGUCAACGGAUCAGCCACCAUCCUAGUGGUGGAAAUAUGUCUAAGAAUGACCUCGCCUAGCCUAAUCAUCUCUCGAAUGUAGUGAAAACGGAUAUCAAUAUGCUUAGUCCUGCCAUGAUACUUUGAAUCUUUCACAUACUCCAGGGCAGCCAUGCUGUCAGAGAACAUCUCAACAGGUUCAUUUGCUCGAGUCACGAUGUCGAGGUGCUGGAGAAAUCUCCUCAGUCAAAUAGCCUCCUGAACGGCCGCUGAACAAGCAACGUACUCCGCUUCCAUAGUAGACAAGGCAACGCAGCCUUGCUUCUUACUAUACUAGGAAAUUGCACUACCUCCAAGCAUAAACACAUAGCCUGAAGUGGACCUGCGCUCAUCUCUAUCACCACCCCAAUCAGCAUCACUAUAUGCUUUCAAUCUUAAGUCCCCAUCUUGAAAACAGAGAACGAGAUCACUGGUUCCUUUUAGAUAUCGAAGGAUUCUCUUGACCGCUUGCCAAUGAAUAGGUCCUGGGUUGCUCUGGUAACGACUUACCAAGCUAACAGCAAAACAAAUGUCAGGUCGAGUACACAUUAUAGCGUACAUCAAACUGCUAAUUGAACUCGCAUAAGAAACCCUACUCAUUUGCUCCUUUUCUUUAUCUGUUUUAGGGCACUGAUCAAGACUCAGAGUGUGAUUCUUUUCCACUGGAGUAUCAACGGGUUUGCAAUGAUGCAUCCUAAAACGCUCUAGAAACUUUUUAAUAUAAGUUUCUUGAGACAAACCAAGAAGCUUUUUAGAGCGAUCAUGGAUGACCUUCACUCCAAGCACAUAGCUCGCCUCACCCAUGUCUUUCAUUUCAAAAUUGAGAGACAACCACUCCUUAGUGGUAUUGAUUAACUCCAUGUCAUUUCCAGCCAAUAGUAUAUCGUCGACGUAUAGAGAGAGAAAGAAAAUCCCAUUCUUUGUCUUCUUGACAUGUACACAGUGGUCCUCCUCUAUCAUGGACAUACCGAUAGAGGUGAUGGCUUCAUGAAACCUGAAAUACCACUGUCUCGACGACUGCUUGAGACCGUGAAUGGAUCUUUUAAGACGACAAACUUUGUCUUCUUGACCUUUGAGUACAAAACCCUCAGGUUGAUCCAUAUAGAUCUCCUCCGCCAAUUCUCCAUUGAGAAAAGCUGUCUUGACAUCCAUUUGGAACAUUUCCAAAUCUAGGUGUGCCACUAAGGCUAGAAUCAAACGAAUAGAGGUAAAUCGCACAACGGGAGCAAACGUCUCGUUGUAAUCUACCCCUUGCCUCUGAGUGUAGCCCUUAGCCACGAGCCGAGCCUUAUAUUUAUCGAUUGAUCCAUCUGCCUUGCGCUUAAUUUUUAAAACCCAUUUAUUUUCAAUAGACUUGCGGCCAAGCAGAAGGUCAACCAAUUCCCAUACUUGGUUCUUGCUCAUGGAGUCCAUCUCAUCUUUCAUAGCAGCUAUCCACUCACUGCAAGCUGGCGUUGUAAUACUUCUUUAUAAGAAGUAGGUUCAUCAUCAUCGAGCGGAGUGCACAUGAAAAUAUCCCCUUCGAUCUCAAAAUGUCGACGGGGAAUAUGUCCACGUUCACUUCUGCGUAAUGGAGGGUCUAAUCUGCUGACUUCCAAGGGCAUGCUCUCACUCAAAGAAGCACUCCCACUAGCCGGAGGAUCGCUACCACUUUCUUCAGUGACUUUGGGAAGUGAUCGAUCACCCUCAAUCGCAGAUGGGGUAGCGUCGUCCUGUAACUCAUACAAUCUGACGUCUCUUCGCAUAUCACCAAUGUUUGGAAAAUCCCCUUCUAGGAAUUCCACAUCACGAGACUCAAUCUCGGUCAUACCACCAUCUGGGUGUUCACCAGACAUCACAUAGCCCUUCGAAUUUUCAGGGUAUCUGAUGAACAUAUGCUUACUCGCUCUAGGGCUGAGUUUUCCGAAUUUAUGUGAGAGGCUAUGAACAUAUCCAGCCGAACCCCAAGGGUGUAAAUAGUGUAAACUUGGCUUUCUACCGCUCCAUAACUCAUAUGGGGUGGUAGGCAUUAAUUUGCUAGGGACUCGAUUAAGGAUGUAGGCUGCAGUCAAAAGAGCAUCUCCCCAAAAAUUUAUGGGAAGUUGCGCUUGCGCCAUCAUCAACCUAACCAUGUCUAAUAGAGUACGGUUUUUUCGCUCUGCAACACCAUUUUGUUGCGGAGUACCAGGAAUAGUGAGCUGUCUAUUAAUGCCCUUUUGCUCACAAUAAGUCUUGAACUGAUUAGACAAGUACUCACGACCUCGAUCAGUGCGAAGCACCUUUACGCUUCUUUCUAUUUGAUUCUCAGCCUUCGCAACGAAGCGCUUGAAGCAAUCUAAAGUUUCAGAUCGGCGAGAAAGCAAAUACACAUAUCCAUAAUGGGAAUAAUUAUCAAUGAAUGUGAGAAAAUAGCAAGCACCAUGCCGGGCCCUCACAUUCAUUGGCCCACAAAUGUCUGAGUGGAUUAGCUCUAAAGGAUGAGAGGCACGAGUAGCCUUACCGAAAGGCUUUCUACAUGCCUUUCCAGCCAGACAAGGCUUGCACACAGAUAGGUCAACUUUGGUGAGAGACCCCAAAAGGCCUUCUCGAGCCAGUCGAUUCAUUCUUUCUUGACCUAUAUGGCCUAAUCUGGCAUGCCAUUUAACGGAUUCAUCACAGAGAGUAGAAGAAGAAGAAGCAAAUACAAACGAAUCAUCCUCCAAAUCUAAUUUAAAGAAACCAUCAACUAAUAUACCAUAUCCAAAUAAAGGCCAUGUAAAGGGAUGUGUUUUGCGCAACGUCGACGUUUUUCAAAUUAAAUUUUGGCAUAAGUACUUAAUUUUUAUCUGUGUGAUGAGAUUAGUUCUCCGUACAUAAAUUUUUUUAAGAAAAGAUGUGUUCUUUAAAAUGGAUGAGUUCCAACUUUUGGACAAGUUUCAAAAUAAAUAGAAAAUUAAUGAAUUUGUAAUAUUUGAACCGGCACCUGGGUGAUGAUUACGAGCAUAGCGAAGUUUUCGAUCCCGUUGUGUCGAGGAUAAUGUUCUAAUCUUGUUAAUUUUUGGGAAUAUGUGCCUAAUGUCCAAACCUAUUUUUUUUGAAUGUAGUGAAAUGACUUCCAAGAACAUCAUAGUUGAUCUCACCAGGGGUGAUAAGCUAGAUGGAAAGAAUUAUGAUAUCUGGCAUAGGAAAAUGCAAUACCUGCUCAAUGAACAAGGGGGUCAGGGUCUGCUCUGUCUGUGAUCUGGUUUGGACCUGACGAGGACGUCAGGGUCUAAACAGGGGGACUUUGUAACGGAUACCGAUUCCGAUCAGUUUAUAUGAGGCCUACACGCUAGUAAUAAUAACUAGGCUUAAGUAUUUUGGGCUGGUGGUUUGGGCCCAACGAGUUAUUGUUGCUAGCGGGUCGGGUCGUUGCAAUUGGUAUCAGAGACGAAUACAAGUCGAAAAUGUGAGAGCUAAGUGCUAUACGGGACAAAGUGCUACACUAAAGGAUUUGGUGGGAGCCACCUCUUGAACCCGUAGGAGCCACCUCUAGAAUCUCACAUCGCCUGGUAAUUCUGGUCCUGCUCUGAUACCAAUUGUUGGAAAUAAUAGGGCAGCGGAAACUUACAAACCGAAUAGCCAACGUAUCCGGGAACCCAAAUCGGAUCGGUUUGCCUGUUUUACAAGCCUUCUUGGAUCGUCCUUGUCUCGAUGCUUUUGGAUCUCCCACGUUUCUCGCCUUUUCCCACGCGUACGCCUUACGCCACGGAUCGGAUGCGGAUCUGAUGUGACGGAUGCCAAUCGAAGAGGGCUACCAGAGUCCUCUUCUAUGUCCACACUUCAAAACCCUCGGGAACGUAGGUGGAAAUCCCAGAGAGGAAGAAGAGAGAGAAUAAGAAAGAUAUUUCGUAGGUUCUUACGAAUUUGAUCGUAUUCAAUUGUCUCUCAUGGGAGAAAACAAGGGGACAUAUUUAUAGAAUAACAGAACCCGUAAAUAUCAUGAAUCUCAUAUAGAUUAGGAUAAGGAUUAGGAAAUCUAUUAACAUAUAAUAGAUAUCCACUAAUAGAUACGUUUCUUAACUGAUAAGAAACAUAUAAUUUAUUCUUAUCCUAAACUCAUUAGGAUAAAUCACAAUCCACAUCUUAAGUAGAUCGGGUUAAAUCAAGACCCGCCAAUGUGGACACACCACAUGGCUACAGUGGUAGUCUUGGGCUCCACAUUGAAUAGCACCGCAUCAUCUAGUGUCAAAUAUAGGUUUGGCAUAGCCAUCUUGUCUCUCUCUUCAAAUUGCUUAUCUGUCAUCCCUUCCGGUUUUUUCUCCUUUCCUUGCAAGGUGAUCUCACAAGCAUCUUUAAUCAAACUACUUUCAUCUUUAAUUUUCACAACGCAAAAUUCGUUCCAACAAAUCGAGGAACCUCAUACUUCAUCACUGUAACUUUUCCCGCCAUUGUUUCACCGUUAACGAACUACAAAGAACCACACGCUCUGAUACCAGUUGAAAGCGAAGGGAUUGGACGUGGGGUUACCGAGCACACCUCAAACCCAUACAGCACACGAGCGCAAUGGAACAAGAUCUUUCAUAGAUGUAAAAGACGAGAACGAUCGUAAAGAAACAAACAUGAGUAUAACAAAGCAAUAGAAGGAACAUUAGAAGACAAGAACACAAGAUUUACGUAGUUCCACCAACGAUGAGUCGACCUACGUCCACGGGCAAGACCACCUCAAUGCGUUCUUCGAUUAAUCCACGGCACAAAAGUAUAAGGAGUAGAUUGGAUUACAAGAAACUCUGUCAUUUUUCUCUUGAUUAGGGUAUCUACAAUGAAGCACUCACAAGAAACCUCCAACAACGAGGCUCUAACUCAAAAGAACAAUUACAAGGGUUAAUAUAAUCCUAAACCCUAAUUCAAGUAGUAAAUAAUCUCUGCCGUCCAUCCGAGCCUUCGAUUCACACGUAGCCAUCGAUUUCCUCUUAAAAAUUCUCUUUGUAGCGAUCUUGGACCAUCCCUAAUCUUUUGGAAUAAGAUUAGAUCCAACUGAAGUCAAAUUCUGCAUAUUCAACCAGUCGCGGAACUGUGUACCAAUACUCGAAGUCGCGUAUCGGUACUCAAUACAAAAAUAGAUACUGCGUACCGGUAUUCAGAAUCGCGUACGUACUUAAUACAAAAACAGUUUUUCUAGCUCUCAGGUUUUGAGGAACUGUUGAGGUACUCAAUAGUACCAGUAUUGAAACUUCAAGUUCCGGUACCCAACAUCCAGAAACCUCCAAACUUUUACGUUUGCACCGUGAAAUCGACUCGAAACAUGGCUUGACAAAAUCCAACAUCAUGUACCUUUCAUGCACAUUCUAUCUGCUUCUACUUUUCUUAACCAACUUUAUUUAAAUUAUUUUAAUUAUAGUUUGUUUUUUAUUUUCUAUAUAUAUGGUCUUAUAAAAUUAUGUAAUUACUAAUAAGUUUCUAUAAUUUUUUUUCCAUCACAUAUAUUUUGAUAAAAUUAAUUUAAUAACUUAAUAACUAUGUAUUAUAGUUAGUUAAUUAUAAAUAUUAUCAUUAGUUAGUUAAUUAUUAAAAAGCUAUUAGAAAAUCUGAAUCUCACGUCUACCUAUAUAAUAACUUUUUGUCUUGUUGCAUCAUGCUGGCCCUUCACUAGAUUUUUAUAAAUACUAAGUUCAUAAUUCCUUUUUCUUGCCCUCUAAAAGCUCCUGCGAGAAUCUUUUAAAAAAUUUGUUAGUAUUCUAUCUGCAUUUUAACUUUAAUUAACACUUCUUCUAAUUUAUCGACUUUAUCCCUCUAAUUCAUCCAAACACUAGAGGGGGGAAUGAGUUUAUUUAAUCCCCCUCUUAACGGGUUAUUCUAGAAUAAACCAUUAAGAGCGGGGAAUUGUUGUUUCACCAUUUUGGCGGAAUAACAAUUUUUACUGACUAUCCCUAGCGCAAGUGGCAAAAGGGCUUGGCGGUUGGUAUCUGAGACCCAAGUUCGAAUCCUAGUUGAUUUACAUUUUUACCGUCCGUCCCUAAAGCAAGUGGCAAAGGGCUUAGUGGUUGGUAUUCAAAAUCCAAGUUCGAAUCCUAGUUGAUUCACAUUUCCUGCUAAGUUUAUUUCUAAAUGAAAUAAACGAAACGGGUAGCGUGCUACCUAUCUCUCUAAAGUGCUACCUAUCUCUCUAAAAAAAAAAUUUUUUUUUUUCUCUUUAUACCUCUACUAAUUUAAUAAUAAAAUAUUAUUAAUUAAUAUAUUAUAUAAUAUUUUAUUAAUUAAUUAACUAAAUUAAUAAUUAACUAACUUAGUAAUAAAAUAUUGGCUAAAUUAAUAACUAUUUAGUGUGCUUAUGUAAUAACUAAUAUCUAUAUUGAUUAAUCAAUUAAUAUUUUGACCAACAUAACUAAUUAAAUAAUUAAUUAAUUAAUUAAUUUACUAAUAUAUUAAUUUAUUAGCUUCAUUUGUUAACUUUUCAAAUUAUUUAUAGUUAGUUAAUUUAUUAAUUAGAAGUACUCAUGGUUAAUUUAUUAAUGAUUAAUUAAUCUCCUAAUUAAUUUAUAAUAAUUUAUUAAUUAGCAUUUAUGAUUAUUUAAUAAUAUUCAUGAUAAAGAAAUAAAUUAAUUUAUUAAAUAUCAUUUACUUAAUAUUUUGAUGUUAAUUAAUUAUAUACAAUAUUAUUAUUUAACUACUAUAAUUACUUUUAUUCCUAUUAUUCCUAUCUAACUAACCAAACGCGUAAAAUUGGUCUUAUUCCCGUUUAUCCUGAAGUUGUACCUAUCCUAGGAAUAAUCAAAAAAAUUUAUUCCCGAACCUAACGAUACCCUAAGAUUUAAAUCGUUGUAACAUUUUACACACAUCCCUUUGCUUCCCCAUUUCCACCUACGCAAUUUAUCCUUAUAAACUUUAUAUACGAAUGAAAUUUAUUGAAUAAAGCCACAUUUGAAGGAUAAUAAAUUAGAUUACUACCAGAACAAUUUUGAAAUUUUUCGAAAGAUGCAUGCGCAAUAAGAACUCCUUAAAAUCAAAACUCUAUAUUCAAGGAUUAACAUACAACUAUGAAUAUUUGGGAGUUCAUUAUCCACGCACCAGCAAACUCAUUGUAUUAGAUUUUUUCUAUAUCUAUUUCUGUAUUUGUGUUUUUUUUUUUUUUUUUUUUUUUGAGAGAUAGAUAGCACGUAGGCUAUCCGCUUCGUUUACUUCAUUCAGAAAUAAACUUAGCUGGAAAUGUGAAUCAACUAGGAUUUGAACUUGGGACCUCGGGUACCAACCACAUCAAACCCUUUGCCAUUUACUCUAGGGACGGUCGGUCUAUUUUUAUAUUUGUUGGUGUGUCGAUGUACGAAAUAUCAGCAAAUCAACAAUGUUUUAUAAAUAAAAAAUUAUUGAAAGUGCAUGCACAUAGCAAUACUCUAUUAUAUUUAUUACAUCGAACACGUACUUACGACUACCUUUUGUCUUAUCCUCACCAGCUUCAUCAUUCAUUAUCAUUUUUUCAAAACUUACAACUUAUGAUAAGUUAAAAGAAAAAGAAAAAGGAAAAGAAAAAAAACAAUAACAACAAGAAUAACAAAUAGUUCUAAUUGUAAACAGAAAUAAACCUUGCUUGGGCAGUGAUGCGUGAUGGUUUGGUGCAGUACUUCUUCAUCAUUCGUGAUGGCGCGGUUGAUUGACGGCGAAUUCCGGUCGUAGGUCGACCCUACAUUCGCGUCAAGAAGCGGCUGCGUACCUGCAGCCGUAGAAGCAAUCUUGAGGACAGUACGAAAUCACAAGAACUUGUUUGUGGCAGGCGACCAAGCAUUGCCGAAAGCAUUCAUAGCUUAUUUUGACGCCGCCCACAGUAGGAGCAGAUGCGGUAGUUCUUGUGGCGGGCCAAACGGUGCGGCCCACUGCCGGUAGCAGCCGCCCGGAUGCCGCCUCCAGCAGGAGGGACAUGAAGACCAAGGCUAAGAUCAUGAUCACUAUCUUGGUAGGAGGGAUCGUCGCCAUUAAUAAUUAGUUGCUUGGUGUUUUCACUAAAAUGAAAACCUCUCGGUGAACUUGUAAUCUUCUCCCACGAGAGAAUGCUGGAGCUUCAUUUGAUUUAUAGACCCCCACUUAAGGAAAGAAAAAAAGAUUAAAAAAAUUGGACACUCGUAACAUGAGGUAAUUAAUAUAAUCCGAUUAUUAAAAUACUUAAAAUAAUGAGGUAAAUGUGCAGUAAUUGCUUGAACUUUUGUCCAUUUGUAAAUAUAUACAUGGGCACAUAAAUCUUUAAAAUUCUACAUUUACCGUUAUAGUUUCAUAAUUUUGCAAUUAACUACCUAGAUUCAUAUUCAAUGAAUUUAAAACGAGAAUUUAAAAUGAUUAACAUUAGUCAAUUAGUCGAGAAAUAAUAAAGAACUCAUACUGGUGAUAUUGAUGUGCGUUAGAAUUUCGUUACUUUACACACAGGUACCAGGAAAAAAACAGAAAAAGAUUUACUUCAUCAGAUGCAGAAACACCAAAAGAGAAUUGAGAAAGAGAGAAAAAAUAAAGCACAGAUAGAUUUACGUGGUUUGGCUACUGGCUUACAACGUCCACAGACAAGGCCACAGUGAAGAAUUUUAUUAUAAUGAAAAUUUAAUAUAAAAUAUGCCUUACUUAGAAACCCUAGUCCCAAAAAUACAUUCGUACUCUUUCUUAUCUGUUGCACCAAAUUAAUAAAAUAAAAGAUAAUAUUUAUAAUAGUGGUUGAAUUUUAAUACAACAAUGUCACGCCCCGGAUUAUACGUUCCCCGGGCACGCCAACAAAUCCGCCGUAUACAAAAAAUUUUUUCCUGUAUACAAAGCGAUAGCUGUACCUGUAAAUCAUACAAUACUACAAAAAGUAGUAUAGAGCUGCUAGAAGAACCAGAAAUAAAACAAACCGAGUUCCAUAUACAUACGCCAAAUCCAAGAUACAAAACUACUCGCACUGGUGAGUUAAGUAAAAGUAUGUACAUGAACUCCAACAAAAACAACUACCUGCUGUAGGGGUACCUCUAGCUCGGCUCGUCGGGUCGGGCUCUAACUCGCGACGCCCUUGCCUCGAUCCUGAUCAGCAACAGCAGCAGCCGAAGACGAAGGCUCUGCAAAAACGGGGUAACAAUAGGGCGUGAGAACUACUGUAAAACAAGUAGUCCUCAGUGGGUGCCGCUCUCAACAACAUCGGUCCACCCACUGAGUCUACAGAAGGGAGCAAAGGUAAUAAUAAAUGCUGGAAUAAAAUCUACAGUUACCAUUUAUUACUCUAUCAUGCUCUAAGCUAACCUACUGUAGAAAUGUCAAUUCUGACCCAAUCUCUUUAGGGACUGUAAACAUACCCAUCCCAGAGACUGUGAAUACACCCGUCCCGCCCAGUAGAGACUAUCCAGCUACCUCCACACUAACCAGUCCAUGGAGAGCAAGUCUAAUUGGCAUGCACGACAUCAACGCAAAAGCAUAGCGCCCGCCUCCGUAGUGGCACUCGUGGGAGCUACCCAACCGAGUAUGCAACUGUAAUACACUGAACUUUUGCAAUUUGCGGAGUUCGAGUAUGUGGAAUGGUGUGUGGAUCACUCCUACAUGUUUUAAAAGGUUAGAACAAGUUUUUGGAUAAGUUAGAGGAUGGUUGGAAUGCUAAAAAUAAGAAAGUGCAUUGAACUGGCGAAAAUCAGCCUUUUCUGCUUGCUGUACCGGUACAGCCGCAAUGGUGUACCGGUACACAGUGGCAUUUCGUGGCAGCUUGGGUAUUUUGGUAAUUUCACAUGCUUAUCCCUAUCUUAUGGACCCAGCUCGACCCCAGGAGCUUUGUGGAUGUUGCUGGAGUGCAAAGGAGUGUUCUACCAUCUCUCUCUCUCUCUCUCUCUAGGGUUUUUCUCUCUCUACAUCGAAUUCGCCGAUUUCGAUCGUUUUCGUCGCCGCGUGCGUUCUUCGCUGGUUGCGAGCGUCGCAGCACCUUUGUGCACGUGCAAGAGAGUGUUUUGGAGGGAUUUUUGCAGCCCUGGACCAGUAAGGAGCUGGUUGCAAGCUUGAGAAGGUAUAUAACUUGAUUUUUCCGUUAUCGACGCGUUAUUAGUCGAGUUGAGUAUUGAUUUCAUGUUUUUGCUUCCAACUGUUUUAACCUGAGAUUUCAGCAUGUAUAUAUGAGAUAUUUAGCUGAGAAUUAACCCUCUUAGAUCUGGAAUAGGCUACUUGGAAGCUUAAUUGGAAUAAUUAGCCAUUUAUGAAGCUAUUUCGGACUAUAUACGGGUUACGCGACCGAAUUGAUACAAUUUGGGAAUUGUUCUCUUCGCAGCAGGUUUUUGAACCUUAUUAAACGAAAUUAGUGACCUUGGGACCGAGUUUAGAAGGUGUUCUAACUUCGGGUAAGCAGGAAUUUCAGCUAGGAAUUCAAUCUUGCGAGAAUUCGACUAUUAUAGUUUAUAAUCGACUAUAUUGAUGCCGUUUCGGUAUUGUUCGCAGCGAGAGGGUGUUUGACCCUUGGACCGUCUUCGACUGGCCUUGGAGGACCUUUUGGAAGCUUAACUUGAGGUAUUACUCUAGCCCAGAAUAGGGAUUCAAGGGGUUACCUUGCACUAAGUGUAAAUUAGGCCGAAAUCGGACAUUUCGGUCGUGUUUUUGACACGGUUUUGAUACCUUAUUUUCAGCAGUAGUGGGACCUCGUGGGGCUGAUUUUGGGACCCUUGCACACUGUUUUGGAGCUUAGUACGAGGUGGGUUUGACCUAACCAGAGCAAGUGAAGCUCCCCUAUGUUCUAUAUGUAUCGAAUUGACAUAGUUGUGCGAUAUUGUCACUAUAUGGUUCUUUGGAACUUCUUUGCCAUAACAUUGACUAGAAUCUCUAUGAAGUAGAGAGAAAUUAUGCAUAACAGUAUUUAUGCUUAUGUUUAUGUUUAUCUUUAGUUCAGUUGAAUAAUCAAUGGACAUGAUAAUUAUGUUUUUGUAAAGUAGAAAACAAUGAUAUUGACUCUAAAGUAGAGAACCGUGACAUGCUUUGGGACUAUGUUGGUAGUGCCAUGAUAGUGAAAAGAUUCUAAUGCCUGUAAAUUAGCAUUACUCUUACAUGCUUACUAAACUAGUGGAUUCUAGUUAUUGUUCAUAUUUGUUAUAUUGAAAUUCCGAUCGAGGAUCGAGACCGAGAAUAUUGCAAAUGAAAUUGUAAUAAUUGAGAUAUGUUGGACUGUGGACCUUGCUUGCUUGCCAUUGUGCUCAUUCGCACACGCUUGUGAGGGUAGCUCCCUACAAGCCGGCACUCCGGAGUUGGCCUACGCGACAGUUGCUCGCCCGUGCGGGAUUGGGUGCCGAAGUGGAUCGCCGUGGGGAGUGUAUACUACCACGGGGCCAUUAGGCGCGGCGCAAGCUGGACUACCUUGAGUAGAUCCCUGUGAAUGAAAGGAAAGUGCUAAAGGAAAUUGGACAGUAAUGAAUGAUUACCAGUUACAGUGUACAGUAGUUACUUACACAUUUAUGCUAUGUUUAUGCUUAUAGUAGUAGCCAUGCUUCUAUUAUUCAGUUGAUUCAUUACUGUUGAUGCUAUGAUCACAUGUUGUUUACAUGUUCAUUAUUUGUUAACAUUGGCUUAUGAAUUGUUAGCAUUGAAAAUAUAUCAUGCAAAUUACUGCUUUUAUUUCCAUUUAGUACAUCUUGUACAUCUUGAGCCUAGUGGUGUAAUUCGCCGAGGCUGGCGGCUUACCCACUGGGAACUAUUGUUAAUAGUUCUCACGCCCUUUUGAUGGUUGUUUUUACAGAGCCUGUUACAGGAGAGGCUAGGGAUCGUGGCAAGGGAGUCGCGCCUAGCUAGGGACUUCUAGGAGCGUGCUAGUCGAUCACCUUGCUACUCGGGCUACGGCCGAGGGUGAUGUCCCUAUGUAUAGAUAGACCACCGUUGUACCUAUUCUUUUUGUAUACCCUGUAUAUGUAUAUGUGUUAUUGGAAUCAGACUUUAUAGUUGUGAUACUUUCAUCUUUUGGUUGAAUUGUGGGAUUGUACACUCUUUGCCCUUUUGCUGAUAGUAUUUUGACUUGUACUUUGCUCUGAUAUCAGGAUAGGACUUUCUUUGUUUUACUUCCUAUCGAUUUGCUUCUUGUAGACGCCUUAUAUACUGCAGGUGUAUGGCGGGUCUGUGCACGUGCCGGAUAUGCUUCCGCUGGUAUCCGGGCGUGACAAGAGUAAAGUCAAGAUCAGAACUUAUAAUCCGUUGAGUCUAAGGAUAUGAUCAUACUAGCUAUAACCUCAGUACUCGAUGGACGAUAAGCACACCCUCGUGAGAGACGAUGUCUAGUCGAGGUUGUUGUUAGCGAAAGUACUUUGAUUGGGUACUUAUAAACUCCGAAUAGUAGGAGUUUGAUCGGGAUGUGCAAGUACUAACUUUGCAGAGGGUCACGUUGGCGGCCGACAACGUGACAUCGGAAGUUAGUAGGCGUUACAUUUCCUUACUUUCGCUUGAUUAGUUGGUUUAUAUCCUCAAUGAGGGUUCAGUAGUAUAGGGUUUAUUGACCUAUGUUUGUUUUUGUGUUGCAGUUCAAGAUGCCUACGACUCGUUCUGGAACCGCCGGGGCGGCUGAGGCGGCCGCUGCGGAAGAGGUAGAGACUUCCGUCACGUCGGGGUCCAGUGAGCUUCAUGAGUUGCAGGAUCAGCUUGCGACGUUGACAGAGUUGGUUACUCAGCAGGCCGCGGCAGCACGACAGUAGAUGGAUGCUGCGCGUCGGCAGGAUGACAGGAUGAAGAGGUUAGAGGAUCUAUUACUGCGGCAGACGACCGCGUCGGCAGGAGGACAGGACUCCCUGUGGCCGCCUAGAUUUAACUCGGGCCGAGCCUGGGCACUCACGGCCUCCGCGCACUGCCGCCGUCCAUCGACGGGAGCGCCGCCCUCCUUGGACUUCCGGUGACCCUCCGGCGACCGGCCGCCGCCGCCCCGAGGCCCCCGGCCGCCGCCUAGCCGCCGCAGACUCCUUGAACCCGAGCUGAGCUGUGCGGGCUCGUUCUUUGCCGCCGUGCCACCGGCUGCCUCUCACCGCCGGCCAGCACGUGCCCGACCCCUCUUCGACAUGCUGCGAUUUCCCCCUGCCGGAGCGCCCGCCAUCCGGCCGCCGCUGGUCACCCUUGGGCUCCACUGGUCCGGUAAGCAUUAAAUGAUGUUUUUUGUGCACUGUUUGGGGUUCUGGUCACCUUUCCGGCGAUCCGGAGACACCCCGAUAAUUAUGGAAGUAAGCAUGAUGAUCUCUGAUCCGUGCCGAACAUCGUGCUCACCUCCUUUGGGGUCAGUGAUGCCUCGGUUUGCGUGAUAGACGCAUUUUAAACACUGUGCGUGCUGUUUCGCUGUAGUUCGCAUCGCUCACGCGCUCGCCACAGCGGCUGGCAGUGCUCUGAAUCUGAGCACGGCCUUCGGCACGCCGAGACCUGUCGGCGAGUGUCUCAGCUUGGCCGAAUGACCUUCGGUUUGCGCUGUCGGGCUAUAAAAAAUCCCGAAAAUCACAUGAAAUAAUGUGAUUUUAUGUAAUCGGGAGGGUAUUUAUGCAAUUGUGCUUGUCAGGGUCGCUGUUGGCAGCAUGUGCGGGCAGUGGGUGACCUCUGAACUGGUUGUCCAAGGCCCCAAGCCUUGCCGGAAAUCAAAUGUUGAUUUUCGGUGCGUUUUUCAGCGAAAUCUGCCGACGGAACGCGUUUUCGGUUCGGAAUUCUUCUGACGGUGCCUCAUGAUAAUUUGUUACGUCGCUGAACCUGGUUGGCUGGUCACCCAUGUCGUUUCGAGGGUUCGAAAACGACGAGUGAGUGACGGUGGGUUCCGGUGUCGAAAUUGACACUUCCGGGAACCCGGAUCGAAAUGAUUAUCCGAUGAUAAUCAGUUCGAUGUGAAGCGAUGUGUUUGCUGCCAAGUCCCAUGGAUAAUGGUAUUUAGUGGCAGCGGGUGACUCGUAGCCCGAGUCGGUGUGUUCCGGGACAGUUCGUGGGUCCUGACGGAGUCCCGGUGCGAUUAUCGGGACUUCCGGCGUGUUACGGCAAUCGGUUUGGAAAACCGAUUCCCGUGGACCCUUCGUAGGUUCGGUUGAUAUCCUUCCGCAGUCGGGAGACCAAUGCCAGAUAUGUACAGGUGGGUACUUCGACUUGAAGUUGGUACAGUGGUGCACGCUCGGUGACAUCUUCUUACCCUGUUCUCUUGUUAUUACCUUGCAUAUAUAGUGUUGAGCCUAUCAUCCCUGUUAUUCCUGUUUUGCUCUACUUGUUUAUUUUCAUGUCUAGCUUCAUGAGUAGGAGUAGAGCAGUUGUAUGAUUUCAUGUGAGAUCGGUGACCUAGUUGGUCGAUGCUUUUAUCUCGUAUCUUUGACCUAUUCGGUCGGCUGACUGCAUUGUUAUCGUGACCUACUUGGUCGGUUGCACUAUUCGAUGACCUAUACGGUCAGUAUACCCUGAGGGGUAGGAUUGUCGGCUAGUGGCUGACGGUUAGUUCUAGAUUAUACCGAUGUAUGAUGUAACAUCCUUGUGACCUAUUGGUCAGUUCUUGUGUAUAGGGGUGGAAACGAGCCGAGCUCGAGCGAGCUUACCUCGGCUCAAAUUCGGCUUGAAAUUAAUUUCGAGCCUAAAUUUAAGCUCAAGCUUGGAUUGAAAUUAAUUCGAGCCGAGCUCGAGCGAGCCUAAUUUUGAGUCGAGCGAGCUCGAGCUCUAAACGAGCCGCUUGAAAUUCUCAACAUCAUACGAUUAAUAGUUUAAUUUGUAUAGAACAUUGAUACAAAAAUAUGUCUAAUAGUUCAAAGUAUAAAAUAAUUAUAUAAAAUAUAGUAUUAUAAUAUGAAAAAAAAAAAUUAUGAGUUGAAUAUCUAAUCUUUUCAGCCUCACACGUCUUUUCUUCCGCCUUCAAUCUCCAUAUUAUUCAUUUUCAUUUAUGCAGUCAAAAAUAAAUAAAUUAUAUAGAUAAAUAUUGGAUUAAACUAUCCAAUCAUAUAUAACUAAAAUUAAAAUUUUAUAUGAAUAAUAAUUUUUUACUUUAAAAAUAUUCUGUAUGUUUUCUCAAGCAUACAAUUAAUAGCAAAAUAGGCAACGACAGACAUAUGCUGCUAUUUGGUAAUAUAGAGGGCUUCCGGCUUGGCCACAUAGGGUGAGAGUCAGAAAAAGAGAAAGAGAGAAAUAUAUUAAAAAUUUAGAGCUCUGUGAAAGAAAGAAAGAAAGAAAGAAAGGAAAAAUGUAUAAAUUUAGUAAAAUUUUGCUCUUUUAUUUGUCUAUUGGGUUUGUUUUUAUGGGCCAACAAUAUUGGCCCAAUUUUAACUAAACUCAGAUUAUUCACUCCAGCCUAUACAUAAUUAAAAUAUUAUAUAUAUAUAUAUAUGAAGUGAAUGCUAUCGGAAGCACGGAGCUUCGUGCUUCCAGCUCGUUUUCGAUGUUGCGACUUUCGAAUCGUCGAUCGGCUCCGUUAAACUUGAUAUAUAUAUGAGUGAAUGCUAUCGAAGCAUGGAGCCUUCCGUGCUUCCAGCUCGUUUUCGAUGUUGCGACUUUCGAAUCGUCGAUCGGCUCCGUUAAACUUGAUCUAGAAUAUUUGAGUACCUAGAAAAUAAAUUUUAUUAUUUUUCGAUAUCAUUUGCCUAGUGAUCGAAUGGGCUCAAAUCAACAAAUUUCAUGGAACGGUAGUGAGCCGUUUGCAAGUUUAACGGUGUAGAAAUAUCCAAAUCACGUGAAAUUUUGAUAGACAAUUCUUUAUACUAUAUAAAAUAAGAUCAAUAUCUUUGAUUUAAAAUUUUAAUGUCAUAUUAUUACAUUUUGUAAGAUUUUUAUUUUCAGCCGUUGAUUUUGAGCCCCUUCGUUCACUAGGCAAAUGAUAUCAUAAAAUCAUAAAAUUUAUUUUCUAGGUACUUCAAAUACUCUAGAUCAAGUUUAACGGAGCCGAUCGACGAUUCGAAAGUCGCAACAUCAAAAACGAGCUGGAAGCACGGAAGGCUCCGUGCUUCCGAUAGCAUAGUAGCCUCACUCUAUAUAUAUAUAUAUAUAUAUUCGAGCUUUUCGAGUUUUUCGAGCCUAAUUAGAACGAGCCGAGUAAUACUCAAGCUCGGCUUGAAAUGAAUUUCGAGCCUUUUUUUUUGUUCAAGCUCGGCUCAUUUAAUUUCGAGUCGAGUUCAAGCGAGCCAAAUAUCGAGUCAAACGCGAGUCGAACGCGAGCCGGCUCGCUCAUUUGCCAGCCCUACUUGUGUAUAUAGAUGUAUGUUGGUUUGAGUGGUAUAUUGAGCUAACAAAUCGUCGAGCUUUAUUGAUAAUGUCAGACUUGGACUUGUUGGUCAGGAGAAAAGUGAGGUCUUGAACCUAGGACUGUCGAAAUGCAGCAUGUGGCUUUUCGCUGAUGGGGAUUUGACUUCGGCUGUUCGUGUUUUAAACUGGUAGGAGACUGUGGUCUUCGAGAGAGUGUUAUUGACUCAGGUUUUAGGACUAUGAUACGUUUUCACUCGUGGUGAGCUGGUUGACGUUGUUGGCUAGUCGGAGUGUGUCAUUUUGGCCUGUGAAAAUAUACUCCAGACUUGUGGCAUUGUUUCGUGACUUCUCUACGUGAAUUUUCGAUGUAGUGAGUCGGUUACAGAUUCACGGACCAAGGUUGAGUGGACCUAGAGUUUCUGAGUGGUAAGUUAUUAACUCAGAUUUGGCAGAUAUGGGAUCAGAUAAUUCUAGUCGCGGAACUGUUUUGUCCCCAGGUUAUAUGAUGGUGUUGAUCCCGGUGGGUUUUGGUCCAUAGAUUUUGGGUUGGUACGUCUUCCCUCGUCUUGUCCGAGUGGAACCGCAAUUCUAUUCUCCCUUUCUUCGGAGGUUGAUUUGUCCAGAUUCAAGGAAAUGUAAUUGACCAGUACUCAAAGGUGAUACCGCAGUGGUGGAGUGAUAUCCAUAUGCGAUCACGGUGGGUACGUGGUCAAGUUUCGGGGACGAAACUUCCUUUAAGGGGGGAUGAUGUAAGGACUGAGAUUUUGGUAGUGUAGAUAAACUCUCUGUUGAUGAUGUUUUUGUGUGUAUUUUAAUUACAAAAGCACUUGUCAAGUUUCGGGAGAAAACGAGUUUGAAUGGAGAAGUUACGCGACUUUUAUUUUUUCACUUAAAGUGAAUAGUAACUCGCUUUUCCGGUGAGGCCACGGUGUAGAGUUGGCUUCCGGCGCGUAUCAGACUCCAUUUAUAGCAAUCCAAUAACUCGUUUUGAACGGUUCGGCUAUUCUGGAACUAAUGGCACUGACGGAUUGUAUAUUUGAUGCACGAUUUUCGAGUAAAAGGAAGUUUAUGGGUUUUACACAUAUAUGUAAGUGUGGUGUUGGAAAGUUGGAGAGUGGAUGAGUUUAGUCGCAAAUCAGCGACCAAAUCUGUCACGCCUCGGAUCGACUGUGGAGCGAGGAUUGUGACGUUCCGCGAGCCAGGCUAGGUGGAGUUUACAUACAGGGGUUGCAGGAGUACGUUGUUUGCCACUUGGAUAUCGUUGGCGUGGGCUCGACAGCUGAUGAGUAGAGGAUGCAUCGCUUUUCUGGCGACGGUUGUAGAGGUACCUACGGCGGCCCCGGGACUCGAGGAUAUCUCUAUAGUUCGCAAGUUUCCGGAUGUUUUUCUCCCGGAGUUGACGACUAUGCCGCCGGAUAGAGAGAUCGAGUUUGUGAUUGAUGUAGUUCAUGGAACUGCACCAAUCUCGAAGGCACCCUAUCGGAUGGCACCGGCAAAGCUGAGAGAGCUAAAGGUGCAGCUUCAGGAUCUGAUGGAUAAGAGGUAUGUGAGACCCAAUGUAUCGACUUGGGGAGCGCCGGUAUUAUUUGUAAAGAAGAAUGAUGGUUCACUCCAAUUAUGUGUGGAUUAUCGGGAGCUAAAUAAAGUGACCAUCAAGAACAAGUAUCCUUUGCCGCGCGCAUCAAUAAUCUGUUUGAUCAGCGAUGGAGAAGCUAUUUGAAGACUUGUUCAUACCAGAGAGGGAGCAGGUACAUUUGGGAGUGCACUGCUUGGCUGGCGAUGCGCAUUCUUGGUGGAGGAGGAUGAGGCGAGACCGAGGGUUUGUCACGCCCCGCAACCGCCAAUUUGGUCGGUUCGGACACGUCGAACAGACGCCGAACGGACAGUACCUCUCCUAUCCGCCUAAGGCUAAUAACAGGAUCAUAUACAUACAAGUUGCCCAGGAAAAACUUAAACAACAUACAUGAUCAUCGCGAGAUAACAAGCAUGUCAUACUACAAGUAAACAAGAGAGAGUUCUAACUAUUACAACUAUUCAACUUCAGAUUUAUAUUUACAUUUCCAAAAAGUAUACAAGUUCAUCUCAUAAUAACAUAAGUAACUCUCCAAAAGCCUCUCACCAACUAUACAUCAUACAUCAGUCAUAUACACAGGGUACUCUAAUGCAGAAAGGAAAGCUACUAGCUACCAUGGGGCUAUACCCUUACCGUGAUCCUCGGUCGGAACGCUCGAACUCGGACCUGCAAUAAAGUGGGGUGAGAACUAUUGUCCAUAGUUCCCAGUGGGUUCGGCCGCUGACUCCGCCGAUCUUCCCACUAGGUAUAAGCAGGCAUAAGCAGAUAGAUAUGCGGAAAUAAACUGCUACAUAGUAAUGAAAACUGCAACAUGCUACUAUGCCUCAAGAACAAAAUAAUGAAUGAAUAUAGCAAUGUAUUUUACUAACAUGCUACUAUGUCUCUACAUCAAGUAUGAAUGCAACAUCUACUAUGCUCAAGAUGCGUAUCUCUCAUGAGAUCAUUACCUAAUCCACUUGGCUAACCCGAAGGUUACGCCCCGACUCACGUUUCGAAUCCCAUAAGUGAGAAGCUACCCCGCAUUUACCCUACCCGAGACCGUCUGCGGGACAACUACGUCUGCCCCUCGUGUGACCACCUCUGGAGUGCACUGCUUGUGUGGAGCGACCACCUCAAGCUCAAAACAGACCAUGUGAGUACGAUUCAAUCCUCGCCAACUGAGGAUACCCUGUCAACUAGAGCUAAUAGAAACUCGGGAACUCAACUAUCCCAAUGUCCAUGUCAAGUGUCUCAACUACACUAUGUUCUAUGCCACAUAUCAUAGUCCUUGUCUAGUGUUUCGUCUACACUAAGGUUCAUGCCACUCGUCAUGCCAUCAACAUUAUUUACAUGCCACUCGUUCAUGUCAUAGUGCCUUUAAUACACUAGUUUACAUGUCCCUCGUUUUCAUUAUCGAGUUCAAGUUCACCCUUUUCUUAUCACUAUAGGAUUACAUGUCACAAGACUCAAUCCUCAUGCUCCCUAGGUUCAUGUGUCAAGCCUACAAUGCUACACUACUAAGAAAGCAUGCAAGGAAACAGAAAUACAACUAUACCAUACAUCCUAUAAUGCAUAAGAACAUUAUGUGAAAUAUGAUCGAUAAUCUAAGUCGGACAUAGAAGGAAGUCCAACUGCUUCGGGAUGACACCACCCACUACUAGGUGAUGUAGAGAUGCUAGAAAUCCGACUUCAAGAUUUUUGGACGUCGCCUCGGCUCUCCAGGCGAAAACGAAGCUCAAACAGUCCUUUUUCCCAAUAUCUUCGCGCAGACUCGACGGAUCGCCGAACCGACUUCACCAGCCCAUUAGAAUACCUAGCAAUUAGGUAUAAAAGAGAUUAAUCCCAACUUUAGAUCUCAUUUUAACAAAACCCCUAUUUGGAACCCUAAAGCAUAAUUAUUGCGAGAAUCCGACGUAUAGCUUCGCGAUUCGAGCAAUAAUCAUCUACCUAGUAUCCUAGGGUUCACCCAAGACCAAUUCUAAAGUAUAAAAACUUAACCCUAGAAAUCCACCAUUGUUGCCCAAAAAGAUUACCUCAAAAGUUUGCUCCAACGGUGAGGAAGAAGAUGAAGAAGAUGAAGUUCUUCUUCUUAGCUUGCUCCUCCCCCAAGUCUCUCUCCUACUUCCACCCUUGAAGAAAGAGAGAAAAAAGCUUAGAGAGAGAGAAGGAGAAAAAACACACGAAGGGAAGUGUUCUCUGGCUAUGAACGCAAGAGAGGGAGAUGGGGUCCAUUUAUAGGCUGCCAUAAUUGCAAUAAAACCCCUUAACAAUUGCUAUUUGCAACAUACUGCCACCUGCAGUUUUCUGCACUUGGUACCGGUGUGUGGGAUUUUUGUCACCAGUACACCGCUACGCAGAGGCCAAACCCGAGAGUUGCUACUCUCGGUUUGUUACGGGGUACCGGUACUACCCUGAUGUUGUACCGUUACACAGCCCCGAAUUGCCCAAACCCGAGAGCAGCUGCUCGCAGUUGCCUGCCUGGUACCGGUACCACCAUGGUGCUUAACCGGUACACAGUGCCCAGACUGCAUUUUGGCAUUUGUUCAACUUCUAUUUCGCACCAAGCAAUGCUAAUAUCGAACUAUCUCACUUGGAGUUCAACUUUAACCCUUCGAACAUUAUUGGAAUGUUAAAUGGAACAUGUCCAAGCAUUUCUCUCGCCACGCUUUGGUCCUUUUGACCAAAAGUUGUUUAAUUGGACAGUGAAUCAAUAUCUUACAGGGUUGGUGGCAUUGCAAAUGAAGUGGGAUGAGUUCUGUGGAAUGCUGUACGUUCCCAAACAGCGUAAAGCAAAAGCUCGAGGAGGACCUGAAGAAGUUUCAGCAGGGGGAGUGAUCAGUUCAGGAGUACACUCGUGAGUUUACCCUUCUCCUGAAUUGUGUUCCUUUUGUAGCCAGAGAUGAGACCCAUCGACAUACAACUUGUCACUCGGGGUGGUCUCCAUUGCCGUCUCGAUACCCUCCGCGCCUCUCCCCGAAGUCAAGGCGCGAUCAGAAACCUCACGGAAUCUCUUAAGGUCAGCCGUCUGUUGGAUCAACAGGCCCUCCAAUCGCCUGAUUCCCUCAUCUUGUCGGCGCAAGGCUUCGGCAUGAAGUAGUGCCACGCUCGUCUGUCGCUCCACCACGCCAACUAAAGUGGCCAACUGCUCUCUCAACUCCCGAAUCUCGCCGGAUCAGGGGGAUGCAAGCUUCUCUGGCUCGGUCGCCCCGGCUGCCGUAGAGCGUGUCGUCGACAUCACAAGCUAUAACAAACAUAACAAGCACAGGUUAAAACAACCCAUACUAUUGCAACCCCACUCAUAAGUACAAUAUCCCAAUCAUGUGAAAGUAAUGAAGUGACCUCCCAUCAUUCCUCGAUAUCACGUUGUCGGCCGCCAACGUGAUCUUGUAAGGACAUAGAUGUUAUUCACUUCGAUCAAACUCUAACACUUUUGGAGUUACAAAUAUGACCCAAUCAUAAUACUUUCGCCCACAAAUGGUCCCAAAAGACCCGGUCUCUUAUGUUCCUAUCCCUUAUCGUCCAACCAGCCUAAGGUUUGCUAGGUCCUCUAAGACUCAACCCUAGGCUCUGAUACCACUAUAAUCUGUCACGCCAUGGGACCCAGUGGAAGCCCGCCCGACAUGUGCACAGACCCGCCGUGUACGCCAAGCAACCACGAUGCACACAAGGCGUCUACCAAAAACUAGAAAUGAACAAGAUAAAGUCCUAACAAGGCUAUCAGAGCGAGUAAUAUAAAUUUACUAAUGUUCUAUCACAAAGAGGUCCACAAAAAAAUACAAAGUGUAUACAUAAAUCCACAAGUCUAACAACAUCUCUCAAGUACAUAAUACAUCUUUCUACAAGAUACAAAAAGAAAGAUGAUAACAGAUCCAUCUAAAUAACUAUGUAGGGGCUCUAGUUCGUCGCUAACCCCUUGCCAUGAUCUCUAGCCUCUCCCGCCGCGAAAGGCUCUGCAAUAAAACCGACAACAAAUGGGGGUGAGAACUAUUAAAUAAUAGUUCCCAGUGGGUAAGCCGCCGAGAGUGGCGAAAUACACCACUAGGUCAACUGAGGCAUGCUAUAAAGGGGUAAGUAAGCAACAUGUAUAAUAAGCAGGUAUAAUAAUCAUGUUUAAACAUAGUCAUGACUCCACUACAAGUUUAAUUAUCAUGUAUAUGAUGGUCUAUUUUCAUUUGAUCAACUAUAUGUCAAUGUCGAUUUACAUGUAUAUUUCACUAUAUGCCAAUAUUAGGUUACAUGCACAUUCAAUUAUAUGCCAAUAUUAGUUUACAUGCAUGUUUAUGAUGUCCAUAAUGCUACAAUGAAUAAUUAUGCUUUUCUUUACCAUUCUAACCAUACAAUAUGCCAAUCAAUAUAGGUAUGACAUACUACCACUAGAGUGUCAAUGCUAAGAAUGACUAACAUUGUCACGUCCCGAGGCCGCCAAUUUGGUCGGUUCGGGCACGCGAACAGACGCCGAACGGACAGCACCUCCCCUGUCCGCCCAAGGAUCCAACAAUAUGUAUAAUACUAGUAAUUCAAUACAGGAUAAAUACAAUUAUACAAGGUUUGCAUAAGGGCAAACAACAACUAAUUCACAAGUGAAAGCAUCGAAACUAACUAAACAUACAACAUACAAGUCAUUUGAUUUCCUUUGAAUCAAACACAAGUAAAUUUAAACUAUUACAUUCAUAUUCUUUUUCAUUCACAUUUACAUCACAUUAGCUUUCAUCCAAAUACAUAAAUUACAUCAUUUAACAUUUCUAGUUCAACAUACAAAAGUUGAUUACUAAAACAUAGGGUAUGCCUAUAAACUCCGAGGCCGCUAUCUACGGCGCGAUACCCUUGCCUCGAUCCUCUGCUGCACCGUUCGCACACGGAUCUGCAGGGUUAGUGGUGGUGUGAGAACUAAACGAAGUUCCCAGUGGGUUCGGCCGCCGACCGCGCCGACUCGCCCACUAGGUCUAUUCAGGCAUAUGUAUUUCAAUAAGGAUAGAUAUUCAAACCAGCUAAUGCAACUAACACAAUGCCUGCAAGAAAAUAGUCAGCAGAUAGAUAAUCCAUAAUCAUGAUAAUUAUGCAUGCAUGUUCAUGUCUCAUUCUCUUUGGCCUUUACCCAAUCAUUCUGGGGUGCUCCUGGUUUACCCCAAACUCACAAUCCACACAUCCUGUCUACCGGGGGAGGCACAAGGCUCAACCACCCGAGGGAUUUUCGCCGGGGUACUCUCCCCGUGGUGUCUACACCCCCGAGUACACCGCUUGAGGAUGAGCUACCUCUCUCAAGCCGGAACUAAUGUGUGAGUACGAUCCAAUCCUCAAUUUGAGGACGUAGCCAAACCUGUCUCAAUGCACAAAGCCUCGAUGCUCAUGAUAGGUUAUUACCAUAUCACAUUUCCAUUAUACCUGAGCCACAAUGGUCCUGAUGCCACAAUAAGGUAAACCUUGUUUAGCCGUUCUCAUUUUCGGUGCCAAUCUGGUCACUAAUGUCAAUGUCACCUUUAUUUACUAUUGUCAUAGUCUGUUCUAGCAUUCACAUACACAUAGGGUUCUUUCAUACAUGGUUCCCAUGGUUUCUCAUUAUUUCACAUAUUCUUUAAACAUCUAAAUGCAAUUCAACCAAGAACACAUAUCACACUAUCCUAUAUGCAUGAAUGCUAACGCCAAUAUGCUCAAAGAAGGUAACAUAGACAUAGAGAGAAAUCCGGUGUUUCCGGACAGCAUCCCCCACCUUUUGGUGAUGCCAAGAUGCCGUAAUCCAAUUUUUCAUGAUUUUUAGACUUCCACGCCGCAAGCUACGACGAUCUAUACCAAUUUAGCCCGUUUUCUCAAUUUCUCCGCGCAUGCUCGUCGUAUCACCAAACCGAGCGCACCAACGCGUUCGUUGACCUAUCAAUUAGGUUAAAAAGAGAUCAAUCCCAAGAUUGAACCUCAAAAUCUCAAAAUCCUAACUUUAGGUCCUUGUACAUUAUCAUCUUCCCCAAACUAGUCCUUAUACAUGAAUAACAUGGGGGAAAUCCUCAACUCAUCUCUUAGAAGCAUGCUAGAAAGAAACAAACCAAAACCCUAACUCAAAACUCAUGGAAACUUACCUUGGAGUCCAAGCCUUCCUUGUACACUUGCACUCUUGCAAGCAACACCUUCAACUUUGCCUACUUCUACUUCCAAACUCCUCCAAAUCCCCUCCUUGUCCAAGCUCUAGAGAGAGAGGAAGAGAGAAGAGAAGGGUUUUAGAGAGAGAGAGGGAGAUAUUUUGGUGUAGGGUUGAGAGCAAAUGAGCUCUCACACAAGCCCUAACCCAUAUAACCCUUCAUCAAGUCACAUUAGCACAUAAGCCCCUCUCAAUUGUAUUUUUACAAUCAGCCCUCACUGGGCAUUUUUCGCAUACGAGGACCGGUCUCUCCCCACAGGGACCGGUCCCCGAGAGCACUCCUCUCAGGACUUAGCCAAAUUUUCAUCUUUUUGGCUUGCUACGUGCACGGGGACCGGUCUCUCCUCCAGGGACCAGUUCCCGAGAGCACGAUUUCCAGAACUUAGCCGUUGGGCAAUCUUCCAACCUACGGGGACCGGUCUCUCCCCUCAGGGACCGGUCCCCGAGAGCUGAAAUUCUGGGACUUAGCCACUUUCCCAGAUUUCACUCACCCGGGUCCAAUUCACUACACAAUGGUCCUAAUGCUUAUAGGAUCGACUCCGCGUCCCGUUCUUUUCGACGAAAGUCGGCACAUUUCACGGGGAAGUGAUACGUUACAAACAUAAAGUCCACAAUAUGCACUAUCAUGCAUGUCUACUAAUCCAACUAGGAUGCACUCUCUAGUAUUAGUUUCCAUAUUAUACCUUAAGUAUCAAAGUUCAAUCCUCGUCAUGGAUCUACACGUGUGUAGUUCGGCUUGCGCCGUGCCAAAAAUGGCCCCAUAGUAGUCAACAUUCCCACCCUAGGAGUGAGCCUCCCCCACGGCAUUCUAUUUCGGCACCCAAUCCCGCACGAACGAGUUUGUGUCGCGUAGGCUAUCUCCGAAAUGCCGGCUUGUGGGGAGCGACCCUCACAAGCAUGUGCGAAUGAGCACAAUGGCAAGCAAGCAUGAUCAAUAGUAUCCAGCUCUCGGUCAUCAUGUCUAAAACAUGAAAUAAGUAUCAACGACCCCAAAGGUCCAAUAUAGUAUCACAUUGUCAAGAUUUGUCAUUUACUAACCCAGAUGUCACUACAUAACGCUCAUGUUUACUAUGUCAAGUAUAAGUCACUAAUUUAUAAGCACAUAGCACUUGUCAUUAUCCUAUUCAAGUUAGUUCACUAUUGUUCAAUUCUGAAGGAGGGUUCACACUUAGGCUAUUCCACUAUAGCUAAGGAAGUCCUUUUCUUGUGCUAUAUGCAUAAGUAUUACAAGAUAUUUACAAUGCCCAUAACGAAUGCCAUGCAUAUACUUUUCUACCAAUGCCUUCACUACAUGGAGAAAUAAACCAUCAUGCAAAUGAUUUCAUACAAUUAGUACUACAUGCAAUAAUCCAUCUUUUCAUUCGCCCAAGGGCGUUCCAAUCUCAAUUCACAUGUCCAACACAUGGAAGGCAACUAUCGAUCCCUAGACCGAAUGCAUUAUCACAAUGCUGUGAACUAGUUGUUCAACUAGAUUAGGUUUACCAAACUUAGUUCCAUGUUGAUCCUAACAUGUGCUUAUGUCACAAUGUCAUAUUUUCCUUGUCUAUCACAAGUAUGCCUCAUCAUGCAACUAAUUGCUAAGCCUCAUUCAUUUCACGGUUUAUGCUUGGUUAAUAAAAUCAAACCCUUGUUUGUCUCUAACAUGCUCUCUAUUACUACAUAAUAGGUAAUGCACCCACAUGUCAUUAAAACGCAAGUCCACGUUAUAUAUCUCUACUACAUAGAGUAUCAAGAUCCUAUACAUGACAUGUAAUCUCUAACAUGCUCCUUAGGUGUAUAAGAGAGUAAUCAUCAUGAAUGGUCACUUUAUGCCCAAAUCCACAUAUAUGCCUCUACCACAUAGAGCAUAAAUUUUACUACACAUGACAUGUAUGUAUUAUGUUUUCAUAAAUUCUAGCAUAUCAUAUUAAGUAUGAAUAAGCACCUAAAUAUGUCUUAAAAUCAUAAAGAAGAUAUAGGGGGAGUUUACCCAUUUCGGUGAGGUCAAACCCACCGGAAACACUUUGAACCCUUUCGUUCCUUCGAACAAAGUUGUCCCCCAAGCUCCUAGCACCCUAAAAGAAAUUCUAAAGGGUUAAAAACUCCAAAAUGACAACUUUGAAAAUCAUCGAAAAUUUACACAUGCAAAAGUGUAAAAUACCUUGGGUCAAGAAGAACUUGAUCAAAACCCAAAUCGAAUCUAGAAAGCUUCAAAUCCAACCUAUAAGAGUGUUCUACACCCAUCAAUUUCAACCCAAAAGCUCCCAAAUGAAAAGCCCCAAACAAAAUCCUAGUUUCUACAAAACUAGGUUUUCAUCUCAAAAAAACUAUCAAAAUAUGAAUCAAAUGAGAGAUUAAAGUUACUAACCUCUCUUACAGUUCCCAACCAAGCCAGAAAGGUGUUAGGGUUGGAGUCCUUCCCUCAAACAAGCUCAAUCCCUCACUUCAAGGCUUCUCCAAUGGUCCAAAAGCAAAACCCUUGAAGAAGAAACAAAAGAGGAGAUCAAACCUUGAAAUCUCCUAAGAAAAGAAAUGAAAUCAAAAGAGAAAUGGUGGAGGAACUAACCUCCUCCUCCUCAGGUUGUAGUUCAAAAGAGCCCCUCAAGGGGUGGGGUGCUAUUUAAAGAGAUGCUACAAUCUCAAAAAGAACCUUAAAAAAUCUAGUCUGCACGCAGCACUGCGUACCGGUGACACGGGGAAGAGUACCGGUACCAGGUCACAAAGCUGCCAAAACCCGAGCCUCGGCCAAGCAGAAAAAUACACUGGAUACCGGUACAAGCGCGAUGCAGUACCAGUACCAAGUCCAGUACCGAUACUCUGCCAAUGCAGUACCGGUACGCAGCCUCGCAGAGUCCAACUCGAGAGCAGUCCAAAAUCUGAAAUUUUGAGAUUUUGGUGCUAAGUUUUCACUCUCGCUCCUCGGGAUGCGAGUCAUAAGUCGGAACACAGUCAACGACCCUCCAGAAAACCUAGAAAAGUUCGGAACACUGAUCAAACACUCGAACCUUACAAUUUGCUAAAGUUCAGUAUGUUAUACUGCUGGUCAACCCUCUCUUUAUUAAGUUAUCUAUUGUUUGCACCCUCUUUUUGAGAACUAGCCAGCAAAACACCUUUCCUUUCAAGGGUAUACGGAGCCUCCAUAUUUUACUUUUUCGUACAUCCCUCGUACCCCCGUCGCUCAGCGAGGUUAAUUUCAUCGUAAAUCUAUCGUCAAGAUUCCAACGCCAUAUCACGCUAUCUAAUCUUUGCUCUACUCUAAUAUCCAAAAUCCUUUCCAUUAGUACAGCAUAGCUAGCUCCCAUACCGAGACCAGUGUUGUUGACACCUCUCAUGAUCUUGUUCCAUUUCCACCCAUCGCUUGUCAUACAGUCAUUGACUCGCAUAUUUCUUGCGUGCUACCAUAGCGUACAAAUCUGGAAAAAGUGAUUGUAAUGUGACUUCUCCGCACCACCGGUCUGACCAAAAGUCGAUGCUACUCCCGUUACCUAGCUUAUAUGAUACUCCCCAUUUGAAGACUCCACUCAGGUUUAGGACUCCCUUCCACCAGUGAGAGAAAGGUCUAAAGGAUUUUCCCUCCCUCAGCGGUCUUCUUCUAAUGUAAAAUAAAUCAUGAAUGAUCUUAGUCCACUACAACUGAGGCAUUAUAAAGAGCUUUAAAUUAUCCAAAAUUUGCUCAAAAUCAAGUUUCUGGGAGAACAGAAGUUUCAGGCUGUCACGCCCCGCGACCAACCGCCAAUUUGAACCGGGUCGCGGCGCCGACGAUAGACCGCCGAACGGACCGUGGUUUCCCCUGUACGCGGACAGAGUCUCCCCUGUACGUUCUAGGCGUCGCAAUCCAAACAAUCAACGAAUGUUCCAAUCAGGAAUGGAUAUCAAUCCAGAUUGCAUAAGGAAGUAUCAAAAACAUAAACUACUUGCUAUUACAAGCAUUCAUUUAGUACAACUGAGUUUCAGUUACAUUUUACUUCCAAAUUACAAUCUAAUUAUUACAUCAUUUAGUUUACAAGCUUGAUACAUUUUGAUUCCUGCCUUCUAGUCCCCUAAGCUAGACUCAGGGUACUGCUACCUCGGUCUCUGUGGUAGGGCGCUAUCUACUGAGCUACGCCCUCACCUUGCGCCACCGCGCUACACACGUACAACCUGAAAACACCCCAAAACCACGUGGGGUGAGAACCAACUCCAUGGUUCCCAGUGGAUACGGCCACCCAAGGGAAAAGCUCGACCGAUAGGUCCGAGGAGGCACUGCAACAUGUUAGUUCAACAAUAUACACCAGAUAUAUAUUCAAUUGAAAUACAUGCCAUGCCUCACGAUAUGCGAUAUGAAAAUCAUGCAACUCUAUGCAACAACUAGUAGAUCAUUAGAUUCUACAUUUACUUGGCUACUCUUAGCAUAUAUCUUUACUCUAAGGUUUCUACUACCUUAGGUUCACACUCGCGUCCCCUGGCUCCUAAGGUCUCUAUUACCUUAGCUUAAGCCUCUAUCUCUAGCUUAUAAGGGUUCCUCUACCCUAUCGAAGCUAACCACCCGAUUCGGCUUCGAGUCAAUCAUCCGCGGAUAGCCCGCGCACCGGCUGCUCAUCAGCCUACCGCCCUCUCUGUCUCAGCCCCCUAGCGGCGAAGUCGUCGCACACGCUAAGCUCGGCUCAAGUCGCACGACUUGACCAUCCGGUGGCGAUAGCAUUGCACUUACCCAGCGUGAGCUCGAGUCCUGACACACCGUCUGGCGGCGAACGGAUCGCACCACACCAAACAACGGUACAUGUCAGACUCAGCCACCUGGAGGCACCUGUAUCGUACUUACCCAGCAUGGAUUCAGUCUGCUCUGGCUGUCUGAUCCUCAAAUGGCUCAACCAUCCUGGCGGCGAAAUCGUCGCACAAACGCCACGGCAAUGGUUCAAGCCCCGGGCGGUGAUCUUCAUGUGAUCGCCCCCAAUCCUCCUUCGGUACCAAGCUCGGCGGCGAAGUCGUCGCACAAACGCCCUAGCUUCUACCAGGGUCAUCACAAGUCAUGGGAUUCCAGAAUCCACUUUCCAUAGGUCGAGGGUCCAUAACCAACCCUAUACUUUCGACCUAUCUCAUCCUAGUGGCUAUUCCACUAUGCUCAUCAACCUAGGUUCCAAUACUCUAGGUCCUAUGUCCAUGUCAUUUGACCUAGAUGCCUUUGCUAGGUUCUUGUCAUCUUUGCCUAGAUGUCUCCUUCUAGGUUUACUAGUUCGACCUAGGUUUACUAACACUAGGUUCGAUGCCACACCAAGAUUGUUCGACUCUAGGUUCACUUGUUUAACCUAUGUUCUUUAACACUAGGUUAGAUGCCACUCGAUCUAUCUGACAACCUAGUUGUCCAAUCAACUCUACUCACACUAGAGUUAUUAUCUCAUACUUUCUACUUGGCAUUUACUCUAUGCAUCUUUAUUCAUCAUGCAUUCUAUUUACUUAGCCUUUACUUUAUGCAUAUUUAUUAAUGCACCAUUUAGUCUUGUCUACAUGCACAUGCAUCAACAUGAGAUUACAUUGCUAAGACAUAAUGGGCGACCUAGUCGCUUCGGAAAGCACAACCCACCUUAGUUAGCUUUCCGAUUGCUUGUCGACACUUGCAAUCGGCCUCCCGCGGCACCCGACACCCUUUUGGGCCCGAUCUCACAAUUGUUCCCCAAGAGCGCGCCGCUUCGCCGUUUCAAGUGCUAGCGAUCUUUGCCUUGCUGCUACGGUGCUCGGGAUCCGAUUUCACGAUUUAUGAAUGUCGCCUCGGCCUCCCAGGCAGAAAUAAAGCUCUGUGCCCCCGUUUCUUCAACGUCUUCGCAACGGCUUGUCGGAUUGCCGAACCGACUUCGCUGGCGUGUUUCGUUACCUACCAAUUAGGUUUACGAAGGGUCAAAUGAGAUCGAACUCAUCUAUUUACAAAAACCCCACUUGGAUGCCCUAGAAUGCCAUCACCAACAAAUCCACCAAAUCCAUCUAUGAUUUGGGUAUAAACCAUCAAAAUAGCAUGCUAGGGUUCCAAACAAACCAUCUCUAGGGUUUAAAAAACCCAUCACAAGAGAUCUACCAUGAGAGGCUUGGAAGCUUACCUCUCCAAGAGCUCCAAGAUGAAGAAGAAGAUGAAGAUGAAGAUGAGGAAGAGGAUCUCCUCCUUGGUCCUCUCCUUCCUUUCCUUUCCUUUCUCUUUUUUUUCUUCUCUUCUCUUUUCUCUUUUCUUUCUUUUCUUCUUCUCCUCCCUUGCACGAUCGAAGAGAGGGAGAGAGGCUGAGGGAAUGAGAGAGAGAGAGAGGAAAAGGUCUCUCUAAUACCCUCUCUCAUUUUGUAACAAUAUCCCCAAAGGCCCCUCCACUCUUCACCUCUUACACAGCCCUUACUGGGCAUUCUGCGCACUGAGGGACCGGUCUCCCCGACCAGGGACGGGUCCCCGGGGCCUCCCCCUGCGGACACAUGUUCGGGAACCGGUCUCUCCCUGAGAGACCGGUCGAGAGACCGGUCCUCGGGAGACCGGUUCCUCUUAGAGAGUCCGGUUCCCGAGAGCCAAACUUUCGGGACUUAGCCGAUUUUCGGCUCUUCUCACUGGUGUCACAGGCUAGGACCGGUCCCUCCUCUGCCAGGGACCGGUUGCAUCAGCAACCCCGCAGCCUUCAGCUGAUGGGACCAGUCUCUCACCUCCAUAGACCGGUCCUCGGGAGCAACUUCAGCCCAAAAUGCUGAUGGCAUUAUUUGCUCUCGUGGACUCCAUUCCGAUGCACUUCUUGGGUUUCGUGCAUCAUUAGCUUUUCCAAAGCUUAUCAACUCGACCCUUGGUCGAUUCCGGACGAAGCACGACUCUCGGAUUUGGAGAAUUCCUGGGUAUGACAUUCUCCCCCUCUUAAAAGAGUUUCGUCCGCGAAACUUACUCGUUUCCAACCCCCUUCUAUUCCUCGAUCCACUCCUCGAGUACUCAAGGGUCCUAAUGCACUUUUGUACUUCGGAGUGGCCUUUAAUCUCAUCGAACUCAUUUAAAGGCCCACGACGAAGAAUGUGAGACCACGUCUACUCACAUUUUCCUCUUGCAACAUCAAAAGUGCAUUAUCACUUUACAAACCUCAAUGGCGGUGUGAGUCAAUACUCAAGACCCCACACACUAACAUCACCAGCCACUCGGCUAAAGAAGGACCUAUUCCUUCGCGGUUCUAGCGAACAUCAUCACCGUUCAAGAUCAGGGCUACCCUUUUAUCCUUGUGGUGUGAAUCUAGCAAGAUCACAUCAACUCGAUGAAUGAUCCACCACCACAACUCUAUGUGCACGGGUAGACCCUCUCGACUCACUCAAAUAUUCACCAGGUGGCACUUCGCCAACCUGGACAUUUGGGAGCCUGAUGCUACCCUAUCAUCUUAUCUGUACUACCACAUUCUCAUCUAUCACGAGAUGGCAUUCUCUCGUGCAUCUUAGAUUCCCGAUCCUCUUGAGAGCAUCGUUCUCAACUCCAACUUUCCACGUGGCUAUCCAUUAUUCAAGUGUCUCCUAGAGACCACUUUACUUUCUCUUUGUCCCUUGAUAUUGUAAGCCACGUUCAUCACCACACGACCCCUGCGUUCUCGAAUCCGAGCCCAACUCACUAAUAGAGUUUUCGGCUAUACCGAUUGUCAGUUUCCUUAAGUGGACCAAAAAGGUCACCAAUCCUGCGUAGGUCAAUCACCUAACUCAUCUCAACGACGCCUAGCGUCUCUCGCUCGCGAACGUAAACCUACUCAGCAUCAGGCGACAUUCUCAUUGGAGAAUUCACGCGCACUCCAAACAGGAGCAUCCAAGUCCUCAAACCUCGUCAAGUCCUCGAGUACGGGUCACUACACCCUCGGUGUACUAUCGAUCUCGCGAUUCAGCACGCGGCAUUCCACGUACACGGGUCUAUGCUCGGACUACCGUCCUGACCUAAACUCUCCGCCCUACCAAUAGGUAUCGGGUCGCUGUCUCUCACAGCUGACUGCGCCUGCCCAAUGGGCCCAGGCUCCACAGUGCACAAAUGGUCCAGGCACGGGUCGUCCCCAAGCACUACCCGCCAACGUCGUCCUACACGACAUGCUCUACAGAGCUACCAACCCUAUGAGUGAUCCAUGGCGCGCUUUACACUUAGCCCUGCUGAAGUGCUACUUCCAAUUCACUCGACCGGCUGAACAGAACCGCACCUCACGAGUAACUAUACUCGAGCGCUCUACGCCUCUAUAGCGUCUCACACGAAGUCUCGCAUCAGGCAACUUAGCCUAUGCGCACCGGCCACACGAGCAACAACUCGUCCACCUCAACUUGAAAUACAACUAGGCCCACAGGCCAAACUCGGCACUAAUCGACCAAUUUCGCAACGGUGGAUCAUUACCCUGUUCGAUCUAUCGAAUCCAUAUCCAAAAUACUCUUGGGAUAUUCGGGUGUCCCCGAACAUCAAGGCUCAACUCUCGCAAUUUCUAAUCCAUUACUUUGAGAGUCCUUUCACCACUCGAUUUCCAUUGCGAGGCUCGUUUUCUGUUCAAAAUCACCACUAGCCAUUUGCUAGUACCCAUUGGCUCUCUACCUGUUCCAGCAGGCGCUAUACUCUCAUCCUGCUAGUAUGCUCGGGUACCUACCAACCCAACCACUUGGUCCCUACUAUGCAAUGCAACAAUAGGAGCAACUGACCAAUGGUGAAUGCAUGCAAUGCAACAACUCGAGAUCAUGCAAAAACAUAUGAUUGCUCAAUUAACUCAUACCUGCCACGACGACGUCGACAACGGCAGGCAUGGCCACUCGGCGCUCGUCGCGAACCCUCUGGUUGCAAUGCCCUCAAUGGCUGCUCCCCUAACCAUGCCGCAGGUGGCAUACCCGCCGGCGGUCCCGAAGAGGUAUGGGCCAUUGCCAGUGUCAAGGCCCAGCUGUCACCCUGCAGACACUCGUCCCGCACAUGGCCCAGUAGCCCACACUUGAAGCACUUGCCCUCACGCUGUUCACACUGUUGUGGGAAAUGAGAGCCCCCACAAAUCAUACAUCUCGCCGAGGACCGAAUGUGGUACGUCCCCGGAGCUCUAGAUCGAGAGCGCAUCCUCACUGAGGUCUGUUGGGAACUUGACUGACUAUCAUGUCGCCUCACUGGCCGUUCUUUCCCUUUUUCCUUAUAAUGCUCCUCGCGCUUCUCCCGCAGAAAUGCAUUGCCUUGUUCUAUCCACAAGGCCCGAUCCAGGACUUCAGCAAAAGUCUGCAACUUAAGCACCAGCACUGCCUGGUACAAGUCUGGCCGAAGCCCCCGCACGAAACAGUCAGCCUUGUCCUCGUCAUCCCGCACCACGUUCGGGACACAAUGCACGAUACGAGAAAAUUUCCGCUCGUAUUGCCUGACCGUGCGACUUCCCUGCCGCAGCUUAAGAAACCUCUCUUGAAGUUUUCGCUUCUCUCUAUCGGGGAAAUAAGCAGAGAAUAUCAUUCCCCGAAACUCUUCCCAUGUCAUAGGAGGGAGACUAGGCAGUCGAUCUCGCUUGACGCCUUUCCACCACACCUUCGCCGACUGUUUGAGAUAAUACACGGCUAGGUUUACCUUGUCUCGCUCCAACGUGUACAGAUUCUCGAAGAGUGUUUCCAUGGAAUCGAUCCACAUCUCAACGACCCACGGGUCUGGAUCUUCACCAUCAAAGGUAGGCGGAUCAAAUUUCUUGAAAGUCAUGAGGGUUGCUAAAGCUCGCUCCCUCUCCGCCGCUACCUCCGGACUAACCAAAGUCGGGUCGCCCGACCCUGACGGAAACAUCUCCGCCGCAACUCCCGGCUGUCCUCGACCAACCGCAGCUGGUGCUGCCACUAGCCGAUCCACAGUUUCUUGGAGUCGCUCCAUUCGCUCCUCCUGGCGCAUGGCAGCCUCCUGCUGGUGCUGCACCAUAUCAACUUGUUGUCUCAUCACUCCAACGAGUGUGGCCAACUGAUCAGGAAGCUUCGAGUCUCCGCUCGCGUCGGUUUGCUCAGGGGCACCACUUGUCCCCUCCCGCGCCGAUCUGGACGAAGAUCGCCUACGCGGUCCCAUCGUUUCCUGAAACAGGACAACUCGAUUAGCUCUCAACCAACUCGGGUUGAACACGAGACCACUAACACCGGCUCAAAAGCCAAUCAGGCGAAAGUCAAGCAAGGACGUCUAUUCUCGUCACUCGGCUUUAUGUUGUGCAUGCCCAACAUAAACACACUUGGUCGAGAAUAAGCCAUACCUUGAGUCUGCCUCUAAUGUCCGUCUUAGAGGUUAUGACACAACCCAAUCCAUUACCUUUCGCCACAAGUCACGAGUCAUCGUCUCUCACGAGCCUUCUACUCCUAUGGUUUCACUAUUCUAGGGUCUCCUAGGUCUGUCUAAACUAUUUUCUUCCCAUUUUCUACUUUAUGCUCUGAUACCACUUUAUCUGUCACGCCCCGCGACCAAUCGCCAAUUUGGACCGGGUCGCGGCGCCGACAACAAACCGCCGAACGGACCGGGGUUUCCCCUGUACGCGAACAGAGUCUCCCCUGUACGUUCUAGGCGUCGCAAUCCAAACAAUCAACGAUUGUUCCAACCAGGAACGGAUAUCAAUCCAGAUUGCAUAAGGAAGUAUCAAAUACAUAAACUACUUGCUAUUACAAGCAUUCAUUUAGUACAACUGAGUUUCAGUUACAUUUUACUUCCAAAUUACAAUCUAAUUAUUACAUCAUUUAGUUUACAAGCUUGAUACAUUUUGAUUCUUGCCUUCUAGUCCCCUAAGCUAGACUCAGGGUACUGCUACCUCGGUCUCUGUGGUAGGGCGCUAUCUAUUGAGCUACGCCCUCGCCUUGCGCCACCGCGCUGCAUACGUACAACCUGAAAACACCCCAAAACCACGUGGGGUGAGAACCAACUCCAUGGUUCCCAGUGGGUACGGCCACCCAAGGGAAAAGCUCGACCGAUAGGUACGAGGAGGCACUGCAACAUGUUAGUUCAACAAUAUACACCAGAUAUAUAUUCAAUUGAAAUAUAUGCCAUGCCUCACGAUAUGCGAUAUGAAAAUCAUGCAACUCUAUGCAACAACUAGUAGAUCAUUAGAUUCUACAUUUACUUGGCUACUCUUAGCACAUAUCUUUACUCUAGGUUUCUACUACCUUAGGUUCACACUCGAGUCCCCUGGCUCCUAAGGUCUCUAUUACCUUAGCUCAAGCCUCUAUCUCUAGCUCAUAAGGGUUCCUCUACCCUAUCGAAGCUAACCACCCGACUCAGCUUCGAGUCAAUCAUCCGCGAAUAGCCCGCGCACCGGCUGCUCAUCAGCCUACCGCCCUCUCUGUCUCAGCCCCCAAGCGGCGAAGUCGUCGCACACGCUAAGCUCGGCUCAAGUCGCACGACUUGACCAUCCGGUGGCGAUCGCGUUGCACUUACCCAGCGUGAGCUCGAGUCCUGACACACCGUCUGGCGGCGAACGGAUCGCACCACACCCAACAACGGUACAUGUCAGACUCAGCCACCUGGAGGCACCCGCAUCGUACUUACCCAGCAUGGAUUCAGUCUGUCCUGGCGGUCUGAUCCUCAAAUGGCUCAACCAUCCUGGCGGCGAAAUCGUCGCACAAACGCCACGGCAAUGGUUCAAGCCCCGGGCGGUGAUCUCCAUGUGAUCGCCCCCAAUCCUCCUUCGGUACCAAGCUCGGCGGCGAAGUCGUCGCACAAACGCCCUAGCUUCUACCAGGGUCAUCACAAGUCAUAGGAUUCCGGAAUCCACUUUCCAAAGGUCGAGGGUCCAUAACCAACCCUAUACUUUCGACCUAUCUCAUCCUAGUGGCUAUACCACUAUGCUCAUCAACCUAGGUUCCAAUACUCUAGGUCCUAUGUCCAUGUCACUUGACCUAGAUGCCUUUGCUAGGUUCUUGUCAUCUUUCCCUAGAUGUCUCCUUCUAGGUUUACUAGUUCGACCUAGGUUUACUAACACUAGGUUCGAUGCCACACCUAGAUUGUUCGACUCUAGGUUCACUUGUUUAACCUAUGUUCUUUAACACUAGGUUAGAUGCCACUCGAUCUAUCUGACAACCUAGUUGUCCAAUCAACUCUACUCACACUAGAGUUAUUAUCUCAUGCUUUCUACUUGGCAUUUACUCUAUGCAUCUUUAUUCAUCAUGCAUUCUAUUUACUUAGCCUUUACUUUAUGCAUAUUUAUUAAUGCACCAUUUAGUCUUGUCUACAUGCACAUGCAUCAACAUGAGAUUACAUUGCUAAGACAUAAAGGGCGACCUAGUCGCUUCGGUAAGCACAACCCACCUUAGUUAGCUUUUCGAUUGCUUGUCGACACUUGCAAUCGGCCUCCCGCGGCACCCGGCACCCAUUUGGGCCCGAUCUCACAAUUGUUCUCCAAGAGCGUGCCGCUUCGCCGUUUCAAGUGCUAGCGAUCUUUGCCUUGCUGCUACGGUGCUCGGGAUCCGAUUUCACGAUUUAUGAAUGUCGCCUCGGCCUCCCAGGCGGAAAUAAAGCUCCGUGCCCCCGUUUCUUCAACGUCUUCGCAACGGCUUGUCGGAUUGCCGAACCGACUUCGCCGGCGUGUUUCGUUACCUACCAAUUAGGUUUACGAAGGGUCAAAUGAGAUCGAACUCAUCUAUUUAUAAAAACCCCACUUGGAUGCCCUAGAAUGCCAUCACCAACAAAUCCACCAAAUCCAUCUAUGAUUUGGGUAUAAACCAUCAAAAUAGCAUGCUAGGGUUCCAAACAAACCAUCUCUAGGGUUUAAAAAACCCAUCACAAGAGAUCUACUAUGAGAGGCUUGGAAGCUUACCUCUCCAAGAGCUCCAAGAUGAAGAAGAAGAUGAAGAUGAAGAUGAGGAAGAGGAUCUCCUCCUUGGUCCUCUCCUUCCUUUCCUUUCUUUUCUCUUUUUCUUCUUCUCUUCUCUUUUCCCUUUUCUUUCUUUUCUUCUUCUCCUCCCUUGCACGAUCGGAGAGAGGGAGAGAGGCUGAGGGAAUGAGAGAGAGAGAGGAAAAGGUCUCUCUAAUACCCUCUCUCAUUUUGUAACAAUAUCCCCAAAGGCCCCUCCACUCUUCACCUCUUACACAGUCCUUACUGGGCAUUCUGCGCGCUGAGGGACCGGUCUCCCCGACCAGGGACCGGUCCCCGGGGCCUCUCCCCGCGGACACGCGUUCGGGAACCGGUCUCUCCCUGAGAGACCGGUCCUCGGGAGAUCGGUUCCUCUCAGAGAGACCGGUUCCCGAGAGCUAAACUUUCGGGACUUAGCCGAUUUUCGGCUCUUCUCACUGGUGUCACAGGCUGGGACCGGUCCCUCUUCUGCCAGGGACCGGUUGCAUCCGCAACCCCGCAGCCUUCAGCUGAUGGGACCGGUCUCUCACCUCCAGAGACCGGUCCCCGGGAGCAACUUCAGCCCAAAAUGCUGAUCGCAUUAUUUGCUCUCGCGGACUACAUUCCAAUGCACCUCUUGGGUUUCGUGCAUCAUUAGCUUUACCAAAGCUUAUCAACUCGACCCUUGGUCGAUUCCAGACGAAGAACGACUCUCGGAUUUGGAGAAUUCCUGGGUAUGACACAGGCUCAAGUUUUGGGCUCCUGAAACAUGGAUCAGAAUAUUUUUGGAUCCUACUGAAAGCUUACUUGAGCUGUUAUGGAGCAUUCUGAAGGCACAUUCGGACGCCCAGAAAACAAGUUCUGGGCUCCCAAAAGUUCUUGUCAACAAUUGUGGCGUGUGUGCUGACUAUGUCAGAAAUUUUCGGCGUAGCAGAAGUGGGCGGCCGAAAACUAUUUUUGGGCACCUGAAAGUCAAAGUCCAAAAUUUCGGCGCACGUGGACUGAUUGUGUUAGAAAAAUUUUGGCGCGCGAGCACAGGAAUGCUGGGCAUCCACAAUUGACUUUUGGGCACCCGAAUAUCCAAAGUCCAGGUUUGCGGCACACAUGCACUGACUCUGUCAAAGAUUGUAGCGCAUGUGCAAGGACUUAUGGGCGCCCAAACCCCUAAAGUAGGUGCCCGAAAGUGGAACCUCUAGCACAAAUCCAAGGCUAUAAAUAGAUGGUUUGGGUGGUUAUGAGGUAUCCAACUGAGCUCUUGAGCCUAUAAAAACUUAGUGUUCUAUACUCUUAGCUAUCUACUCUCUCUCUAAACUUCUAUAGUGAGAUACAAUCUUGUAAAAGAGAGAAGAAUACUGUGAAAAAGUGUAAUCUUCUUGAGAGAAGUUGUUGGUGUGAAGGCUUGGUGCUUGCCCACAAAAGUAUCAUCUAGUGGAGAUCCAAUGUUCUCGCGUGUUGAGAAAUUGGCGAGGACGUAGGCAAAAUGCAGAACCUCGAAAUAAAUGGAUUGUGUGCUUCUUGAGUUUGUAUUUCUCCAACUCUAUUAUCCUUCUUGUUUGAUUUGAUUCAUAUAUUUUCUUUUCCUGAUUUUUAGCAUUUUUAUUUUAGAAACCUAAUUCACCUCCUUAGGUUGCUAUUUCGAUCCUCAGAACUUACAAACAUGCAAUGCAACAUUAUCCGUUAAACUUGUCAUUUUUGAGAUGUUUUGAGCAUUUAACAAAUGAUAUUGAAAAAUUAUUAAUUUAAUUUCUAAAUAGUUAAAAUGUGUAGAUCAUGUCUAGCAGGCCCGAUCGUUAAAUUAGAUGUACUAUAAUCAAAAAUAAAUUGAAAGUGGGAAGACCUCUAUUUUUUUCGAAAGUACAAGAUUGGACUCUAACAUAGAUAUUUAUAAUUAUGAACAUAUGAAUCAAAUGUAGAUUCCUAUUUCGUCCUUUCAUCGAAUGACUUUGAGUAUAAAUCAUAUUGGUUGAGAUUACUUGAAUAUGCCAAAAAUUUCACUGCAGAUAUCUGAAAACCUCAUGGAAACUUUUAUAUAGGAUAUAUAAUAUAUUAUUAUAUAAAUAAAUUAUAUAUAUAUAUAUAUAUAUAUAUAUAUAUAUAGUUUUGAUCCUAGGAUAUUUGUACAAGUAUCAUCCCCGAUUUGCUAUUAUGUUUUAGCCGAUUGAUCUACUUUUUUUAUACAAAUAGCCCUGGAUCAAACGCAUUGCCAUCCUAUCCAGCACUUAACCACAUCCCUACCCACCAAUCCAUCUCACCUCACAUCUCUCAUAUCGCAAGGGCUAAAAACACACAGAUCACUUGGGUGAGACCUUAACAAGUAUCUAGCCCUUACUAAUAUUAUAUAUAAUAUAUUAUAUAUACCGGACUAGCUAUUAAGCUAUUAAUAGCACCAAUCAUUUGUGCACCAGUUUUUGCCUAUUGAUUAAAGAGGUAUGUGCGGUAUGAUGAUGUGGGGCCCUCUAGGGUUUGAGUGGUUGUUGGUUGAAUAGUAAUAAGAUCUCAACGGGUGAAAAUGAUCAAAAGGGUAGAGAUCUUAACGGCGUGAAGAACUUGUAGCACCAACGUGCUUCGUGCUAUUAAUAGGCAUAAGCCGACUCCUCUCUCUCGCUCGUCUGCGUCGCCGUCUCUCCCGCUCACAGGCCCAAUCUCGAUCUCUCCCCUCCGACACCGUCGUGUUCGUAGAACAAACGAUCCUCGUCGGCUCGUCUCCAUCUCGCCUCUCUCUCUCGUCUCUUAAUAUAUAUAUAUAUAAUAUAAUAUAUAUAUAUAUAUAGUCGCGGCAGGAUGUUUAUGGAAUAAAAGCAACCAGCGCGAGGAUCCGCUGCUUACUACUUUGUUUCGAUGUUCGGACUUUCAAAUCGACGAUCGGCUCCGUUAGACUUGAUUUAACGAUAAUUGAAGUUAUGCAGAAAUAAAUUUUGGCGAUUUUGUUAUAUCAUUUGCUUAGUGAUCGAAGUGGCUCAAAUCAACGGUGAAAAAAAAAUCUUCGAAAAUAUGAGAUAUGACAUUAAAUUUUAGAUCAAAGUUAUUGAUCUUGUUUAUAUGGUAUAAAGAAUUUCUAUCAUAAAUUUCAUGUGAUUUGGAUAUUCUCUACACCGUUAAACUGCAACCGGCAUCACACGCCGUUAAAAUUAUUGAUUUUGAGCUCUUUCGAUCACUAGGCAAAUGAAUCGAAAAAUCAACAAAAUUAAUUUCUAGGUAACUCAAGUACUCUAGAUCAACUCUAACGGGAGCGAUCACUACGCUUUAAAUCCGAACAUCGAAAACAACUUGAACAAUCGGAGGACUCCGUGCUUCCAAUAAGAUACCCCCCACCCCUGCCGCACUAUCCAUAUAUAUAUAUAUAUAUAAAGGACAGCGGGUAGUGAUGGAUGUGAGGAGAUGAGAGAGAGACAGAGAGAUGAGUAGAGAGAAGUAGCAGGACUGGCUGUCUCUCAGGAGCACAGGAGGCCUCCGUGCUCCUGAGCCGUUUAUCGAUGAUGGAAUUUCCGAAUCGACGAUCGGCUCUGUUAGCACUUGAUCUUGCGGUAUUUAACAGUUUCUAGAAAAUAUUUUUUGUGAUUUUUUUGAUAUCAUUUACCUAGUGAAUCGAAAGAUUCAAAAUCAAUAAUUUUGUAAUGGUUUAAUCUGCCGUUUUCAAAGUUUAACAGAUGUUAGAAGUAUUCAAUCAGAUGAAUAUUGAUACAAAAUUCUUAUAACUAUCUAAACAAGAUCAAUAUUUCUGAUCGAUAAAUUUUAGUUGCUAUGUCACCACUUUUUAUAAAUU